GACAUGGGUGUGGCUCGUAUCACCUGAUGACCAAACGGAUCUACGGCACCGUCGAAUCUCAAAUUUAACUGCCAAAACUAUUAUUUUUCAUCCUGUAGUCCCUUUUAGAAUUACUAAACGUCCUUUUUUGGGCCGAGAUUUCCAGGAACGCUUUCGCGCGGUUUGUGUGCAAGUAUUUCAAAUCAUACGGACCUAAAAAUUAGAUGUCAUUCCAUCUUUAUUCCCCUAGAGCCUUCCAGCACUUCCUAAACCGCUCCAGUCGGAGCACGUUAUCAUUCUUGUUAGUUCCGAGUGAAUUCCCUUGGUAUGAUCAUUCUUUCAUCAGUUUGUUCUCCAUUUCUUCUCUAGUCUGAGCCUAGCACACUACUCUAGCUAGACAUGGGUGUGGCUCAUAAGACCUCAUGACCAAACGGGUCUACGGCACCAUCAAAUCUCAAACUUUAACUGCUAAAACUAUUGUUUUUCAUUCUGUAGUCCCUUUUAGAAUUACUAAACAUCCUUUUUUGGGCCGAGAUUUCCAGGAACGCUUUCUCGGGGUUUGUGUGCAUGUAUUUCAAAUCAUACAGACCUAGAAAUUAGAAGUCAUUCCAUCUUUAUUCCCCUAGAGCCUUCCAGCAGUUCCUAAACCGCUCCAGUCAGAGCAUGUUAUCAUUCUUGGUAGUUCUGAGUGAAUUCCCUCGGUAUGAUCAUUCUUUCAUCAGUUUGUUCCCCGUUUCUUCUCUAGCCCGAGCCUAACACACUAUUCUAGCUAGACAUGUGUGUGGCUCGUAACACCUGAUGACCAAACGGAUCUACGGCACCGUCGAAUCUCAAACUUUAUCUGCCAAAACUAUUGUUUUUCAUCUUGUAGUCCCUUUUAGAAUUACUAAACGUCCUUUUUUGGGCCGAGAUUUCCAGGAAUGCUUUCUCGGGGUUUGUUUGCAUGUAUUCCAAACCAUACAGACCUAAAAAAUUAGAAGUCAUUCCAUAUUUAUUCCCCUAUAGCCUUCCAGCAGUUUGUAAACCGCUCCAGUCGGAGCAUGUUAUCAUUCUUGUUAGUUCUGAGUGAAUUCCCUCGGUAUGAUCAUUCUUUCAUCAGUUUGUUCCCUGUUUCUUCUCUAGCCUGAGCCUGACACACUAUUCUAGCUAGACAUGGGUGUGGCUCAUGACACCUGAUGACCAAACGGAUCUACGGCACCGUCGAAUCUCAAACUUUAACUACCAAAACUAUUGUUUUUCAUUCUGUUGCCCCUUUUAAAUUACAAAACGUCAUUUUUUGGGCCGAGAUUUCCAGGAACGCUUUCUCGGGGUUUGUGUGCAUGUAUUUCAAGUCAUACGAACCUAAAAAUUAGAAUACAUUCCAUCUUUAUUCCCCUAGAGCCUUCCAGCAGUUCCUAAACCGCUCCAGUCAGAGCACGUUAUCAUUCUUGUUAGUUCUCAGGGAAUUCCCUCGGUAAGACCAUUCUUUCAUCAGUUUGUUCCCCGUUUCUUCUCUAGCCUGUGCCUAGCACACUAUUCUAGCUACACAUGGGUGUGGCUCGUAACACGUGAUGACCAAACGGAUCUACGACACCGUCGAAUCUCAAACUUUAACUGCCAAAACUAUUGUUUUUCAUCCUGUAGUCCCUUGUAGAAUUACUAAACGUCCUUUUUUGGGCCGAGAUUUCGAGGAACGCUAUGUUGGGGUUUGUGUGCACGUAUUUCAAACCAUACAGACCUAAAAAUUAGAAGUCAUUCCAUCUUUGUUCCCCUAGAGCCUUCCAGCAGUUCCUAAACCGCUCUAGUUGGAGCACGUUAUCAUUCUUGUUAGUUCUGAGCAAAUUCCCUCGGUAUGAUCAUUCUUUCAUCAGUUUAUUCCCUGUUUCUUCUCUAGUUUGAGCCUAGCACACUAUUCUAGCUACUAAUGGGUGUGGAUCGUAACACCUGAUGACCAAACGGAUCUACGGCACCGUCGAAUCUCAAACUUUAACUGCCAAAACUACUGUUUUUCAUUCCGUAGUCCCUUUUAAAUUACUAAACGUCAUUUUUUGGGCAGAGAUAUCCAGGAACGCUUUCUCGGGGUUUGUGUGCACGUAUUUCAAAUCAUACGGACCUAAAAAAUAGAUUCCAUUCCAUCUUUAUUCCCCUCGAGCUUUCCAGCAGUUCCUAAACCGCUCCAGUCGGAGCACGUUAUCAUUAUUGUUAGUUCUGAGUGAGUUCCCUCGGUAGGAUCAUUCUUUCAUCAGUUUGUUCCCCGUUUCUUCUCUAGUCUGAGCCUAACACACUAUUCUAGCUAGACAUGGGCAUGGAUCAUAACACCUGAUGACCAAACGGAUCUACGGCACCGUCGAAUCUCAAACUUUAACUGCGAAAACUAUUGUUUUUCAUCCUGUAGUCCCUUUUAGAAUUACUAAACGUCCUUUUUGGGCCGAGAUUUCCAGGAACGCUUUCUCAGGGUUUGUGUGCGUGUAUUUCAAACCAUACGGACCUAAAAAUUAGAAUUCAUUCCAUCUUUAUUUCCCUAGAGCCUUCCAGCAGUUCCUAAACCGCUCCAGUCGGAGCACGUUAUCAUUCUUGUUAGUUCUGAGCGAAUUCCCUCGGUAUGAUCAUUCUUUCAUCAGUUUGUUCCCCGUUUCUUCUCUAGUCUGAGCCUAACACACGAUUCUAGCUAGACAUGGGUGUGGCUCGUAUCACCUGAUGACCAAACAGAUCUACGGCACCGUCGAAUCUCAAAUUUAACUGCCAAAACUAUUAUUUUUCAUCCUGUAGUCCCUUUUAGAAUUACUAAACGUCCUUUUUUUGGCCGAGAUUUCCAGGAACGCUUUCGCCCAGUUUGUGUGCAAGUAUUUCAAAUCAUACGGACCUAAAAAUUAGAUGUCAUUCCAUCUUUAUUCCCCUAGAGCCUUCCAGCACUUCCUAAACCGCUCUAGUUGGAGCACGUUAUCAUUCUUGUUAGUUCUGAGUGAAUUCCCUUGGUAUAAUCAUUCUUUCAUCAGUUUGUUCUCCAUUUCUUCUGUAGUCUGAACCAAGCACACUACUCUAGCUAGACAAGGGUGUGGCUCAUAACACCUCAUGACCAAACGGGUCUACGGCACCAUCAAAUUUCAAACUUUAACUGCCAAUACUAUUGUUUUUCAUUCUGUAUUCCCUUUUAGAAUUACUAAACGUCCUUUUUUGGGCCGAGAUUUCUAGGAACGCUUUCUCGGGGUUUGUGUGCACGUAUUUCAAAUCAUACGGACCUAAAAAUUAGAAGUCAUUCCAUCUUUAUUCCCCUAGAGCCUUCCAGCCGUUCCUAAACCGCUCCAGUCGAAGCACGUUAUCAUUAUUGUUAGUUGUCAGUGAAUUCCCUCAGUAUGAUCAUUCUUUCAUCAGUUUGUUCCCUGUUUCUUCUCUAGUCUGAGCUUAACACACUAUUCUAGCUAGACAUGGGUGUGGCUCGUAACACCCGAUGACCAAACGGAUCUACGGCACCGUCGAAUCUCAAACUUUAACUGCGAAAACUAUUGUUUUUCAUCCUGUAGUCCUUUUUAGAAUUACUAAACGUCCUUUUUUGGGACGAGAUUUCCAGGAACGCUUUCUCGGGGUUUGUGUGCAUGUAUUUCAAAUCAUACGGACCUAAAAAUUAGAUGUCAUUCCAUCUUUAUUCCCCUAGAGCCUUCCAGCACUUCCUAAACCGCUCUAGUCGGAGCACGUUAUCAUUCUUGUUAGUUCUGAGUGAAUUCACUUGGUAUGAUCAUUCUUUCAUCAGUUUGUUCUCCAUUUCUUCUCUAGUCUGAGCCUAGCACACUACUCUAGCUAGACAUGGGUGUGGCUCAUAACACCUCGUGACCAAACGGGUCUACGGCACCAUCAAAUCUCAAACUUUAACUACCAAAACUAUUGUUUUUCAUUCUGUAUUCCCUUUUAGAAUUACUAAACGUCCUUUUUUGGGCCGAGAUUUCCAGGAAUGCUUUCUCGGGGUUUGUGUGCACGUAUUUCAAAUCAUACGGACCUAAAAAUUAGAAGUCAUUCCAUCUUUAUUCCCCUAGAGCCUUCCAGCAGUUCCUAAACCGCUCCAGUCAGAGCAUGUUAUCAUUCUUGGUAGUUCUGAGUGAAUUCCCUCGGUACGAUCAUUCUUUCAUCAGUUUGUUCCCCGUUUCUUCUCUAGCCUGAGCCUAACACACUAUUCUAGCUAGACAUGUGUUUGGCUCGUAACACCUGAUGACCAAACAGAUCUACGGCACCGUCGAAUCUCAAACUUUAACUGCCAAAACUAUUGUUUUUCAUCUUGUAGUCCCUUUUAGAAUUACUAAACGUCCUUUUUUGGGCCGAGAUUUCCAGGAACGCUUUCUCGGGGUUUGUGUGCAUGUAUUUCAAACCAUACGGACCGAAAAAUUAGAAGUCAUUCCAUAUUUAUUCCCCUAUAGCCUUCCAACAGUUUCUAUCCGCUCCAGUCGGAGCAUGUUAUCAUUCUUGUUAGUUCAGAGUGAAUUCCGUCGGUAUGAUCAUUCUUUCAUCAGUUUGUUCCCUGUUUCUUCUCUAGCCUGAGCCUGACACACUAUUCUAGCUAGACAUGGGUGUGGCUCGUGACACCUGAUGACCAAACGGAUCUACGGCACCGUCGAAUCUCAAACUUUAACUACCAAAACUAUUGUUUUUCAUUCUGUAGUCCCUUUUAAAUUACUAAACGUCAUUUUUUGGGCCGAGAUUUCCAGGAACGCUUUCUCGGGGUUUGUGUGCAUGUAUUUCAAAUCAUACGGACCUAAAAAUUAGAAUCCAUUCCAUCUUUAUUCCCCUAGAGCCUUCGAGCCGUUCCUAAACCGCUCCAGUCGGAGCACGUUAUCAUUAUUGUUAGUUGUCAGUGAAUUCCCUCAGUAUGAUCAUUCUUUCAUCAGUUUGUUCCCUGUUUCUUCUCUAGUCUGAGCUUAACACACUAUUCUAGCUAGACAUGGGUGUGGCUCGUAACACCCGAUGACCAAACGGAUCUACGGCACCGUCGAAUCUCAAACUUUAACUGCGAAAACUAUUGUUUUUCAUCCUGUAGUCCUUUGUAGAAUUACUAAACGUCCUUUUUUGGGACGAGAUUUCCAGGAACGCUUUCUCGGGGUUUGUGUGCGCGUAUUUCAAACCAUACGAACCUUAAAAUUAGAAUUCACUCCAUCUUUAUUCCCCUAGAGCCUUCUAGCAGUUCCUAAACCGCUCCAGUCGGAGCACGUUAUCAUUCUUUUUAGUUCUGAGCGAAUUCCCUCGGUAUGAUCAUUCUUUCAUCAUUUUGUUCCCCCUUUCUUCUCUAUUCUGAGCCUAGCACACUAUUCUAGCUAUUAAUGGGUGUGGAUCGUAACACCUAAUGACCAAACGGAUCUACGGCACCAUCGAAUCUCAAACUUUAACUGCCAAAACUAUUGUUUUUCAUCCUGUAGUCCCUUUUACAAUUAUUAAACGUCCUUUUUUGGGCCGAGAUUUCCAGGAACGCUUUCUCGGGGUUUGUGUGCAUGUAUUUCAAAUCAUACGGACCUAAAAGUUUGAAGGCAUUCCAUCUUUAUUCCCCUAGAGGCUUCCAGCAGUUCCUAAACCGCUCCAGUCGGAGCACGUUAUCAUUAUUGUUAGUUCUGAGCGAAUUCCCUCGGUAUGAUCAUUCUUUCAUCAGUUUGUUUCCUGUUUCUUCUCUCUCCUGAGCAUGACACACUAUUCUCGCUAGACAUGGGUGUGGCUCGUGACACCUGAUGACCAAACGGAUCUACGACACCGUCGAAUCUCAAACUUUAACUACCAAAACUAUUGUUUUUCAUUCCGUAGUCCCUUUUAAAUUACUAAACGUCAUUUUUUGGGCCGAGAUUUCCAGGAACGCUUUCUCGGAGUUUGUGUGCAUGUAUUUCAAAUCAUACGGACCUAAAAAUUAGAAUCCAUUCCAUCUUUAUUCCCCUAAAGCUUUCCAGCAGUUCCUAAACCGCUCCAGUCGGAGCACGUUAUCAUUAUUGUUAGUUCUGAGUGAGUUCCCUCGGUAUGAUCAUUCUUUCUUAAGUUUGUUCCCCGUUUCUUCUCUAGUCUGAGCCUAACACACUAUUCUAGCUAGACAUGGGCGUGGCUCGUAACACCUGAUGACCAAACGGAUCUACGGCUGUUGGGGAACGUUGCAGAAAACAAAAAAUUUCCUACUCGUUUCACCAAGAUCAUCUAGGAGUUCAUCUAGCAACGAGUCAUUGGAUGCAUCUACAUACCUUUGUAGAUCGCGAGCGGAAGCGUUCAAAAGAACGGUGAUGAUGUAGUCGUACUCGACGUGAUCCAAAUCACCGAUGACCAGCGCCGAACGGACGGCACCUCCGCGUUCAACACACGUACGGGACGGGAGACGUCUCCUCCUUCUUGAUCCAGCAAGGGGGAAGGAGAGGUUGAUGAAGAUCCAGCAGCACGACGGCGUGGUGGUGGAUGCAGGGCGUCACAGCAGCAGGGCUUCGCCGAGACUACGAGGGAGAGACGUAACGGGGGGAGGUGGAGGCGCCAGGGGCUGGUGUAAAAUCCCCUAGUAGAUGGCAUCUACUAGGGGGGGCGGCGGCCCUAGUAGAUGGCAUCUACUAGGGGGGGCGGCGGCCAAGGGGAGGUUUCCCUCCCCCCCAAGGCACCUAGGGGUGCCUUCCACCACAUGGACUCUUCCAUGGUGGAAACCCUAGGCGCAUGGGCCUAUAGGGGCUGGUGCCCUUGGCCCAUCUAGGCCAAGGCGCACCCCCUACAGCCCAUGUGGCCCCCCGGGACAGGUGGCCCCACCCGAUGGACCCCCGGGACCCUUCCGGUGGUCCCGGUACAAUACCGAUAACCCCGAAACUUGUCCCGAUGCCCGAAAUAGCACUUCCUAUAUAUAAUUCUUUACCUCCGGACCAUUCGGAACUCCUCGUGACGUCCGGGAUCUCAUCCGGGACUCCGAACAACAUUCGGGUUUCUGCAUAUACAUAUCUUCAUAACCCUAGCGUCACCGAACCUUAAGUGUGUAGACCCUACGGGUUCGGGAGACAAGCAGACAUGACCGAGAAGACUCUCCGGUCAAUAACCAACAGCGGGAUCUGGAUACCCAUGUUGGCUCCCACAUGCUCCACGAUGAUCUCAUCGGAUGAACCACGAUGUCGAGGAUUCAAUCAAUCCCGUACGCUAUUCCCUUUGUCUAUCGAUAUGUUACUUGCCCGAGAUUCGAUCGUCGGUAUCCCAAUACCUCGUUCAAUCUCGUUACCGGCAAGUCACUUUACUCGUACCGUAAUGCAUGAUCCCGUGACCAGACACUUGGUCACUCUGAGCUCAUUAUGAUGAUGCAUUACCGAGUGGGCCCAGUGAUACCUCUCCGUCAUACGGAGUGACAAAUCCCAGUCUUGAUCCAUGUCACCCAACAGACACUUUCGGAGAUACCCGUAGUCUACCUUUAUAGUCACCCAGUUACGUUGUGACGUUUGGCAUACCCAAAGCACUCCUACGGUAUCCGGGAGUUACACGAUCUCAUGGUCUAAGGAAAAGAUACUUUGACAUUGCAAAACUCUAGCAAACGAACUAUACGAUCUUGUGCUAUGUUUAGGAUUGGGUCUCAUCCAUCACAUCAUUCUCCCAAUGAUGUGAUCUCGUUAUCAAUGACAUCCAGUGUCCAUAGUCAGGAAACCAUGACUAUCUGUUGAUCAACGAGCUAGUCAACUAGAGGCUCACUAGGGACAUGUUGGUGUCUGUUAUUCACACAUGCAUUACGAUUUCCGGAUAACACAAUUAUAGCAUGAAUAAAGACAAUUAUCAUGAACAAGGAAAUAUAAUAAUGCUUUUAUUAUUGCCUCUAGGGCAUAUUUCCAACAGUCUCCCACUUGCACUAGAGUCAAUAAUCUAGUUACAUUGUGAUGAAUCGAACACCCAUGGAAUUCUGGUGUUGAUCAUGUUUUGCUCUAGGGAGAGGUUUAGUCAACGGAUCUGCUACAUUCAGGUCCGUAUGUACUUUACAAAUCUCUAUGUCUCCAUCUUGAACAUUUUCACGAAUGGAGUUGAAGCGACGCUUGAUGUGCCUUGUCUUCUUGUGAAACCUGGGCUCCUUGGCAAGUGCAAUAGCUCCAGUGUUGUCACAGAAGAGCUUGAUCGGCCCCGACGCAUUGGGUAUGACUCCUAGGUCGGUGAUGAACUCCUUCACCCAUAUUGCUUCAUGUGCUGCCUCUGAGGCUGCCAUGUACUCCGCUUCACAUGUAGAUCCCGCCACGACGCUUUGCUUGCAACUGCACCAGCUCACUGCCCCACCAUUCAAAAUAUACACGUAUCCGGUUUGUGACUUAGAGUCAUCCAGAUCUGUGUCGAAGCUAGCGUCGACGUAACCCUUUACGACGAGCUCUUCGUCACCUCCAUAAACGAGAAACAUUUCCUUAGUCCUUUUCAGGUACUUCAGGAUAUUCUUGACCGCUGUCCAGUGUUCCUUGCCGGGAUUACUUUGGUACCUUCCUACCAAACUGACGGCAAGGUUAACAUCAGGUCUGGUACACAGCAUGACAUACAUAAUAGAACCUAUGGCUGAGGCAUAGGGGAUGACGCUCAUCUCUUCUAUAUCUUCUGCCGUGGUCGGACAUUGAGCUGAGCUCAAUUUCACACCUUGUAACACAGGCAAGAACCCCUUCUUGGAUUGAUCCAUAUUGAACUUCUUCAAUAUCUUAUCAAGGUAUGUGCUUUGUGAAAGACCUAUGAGGCGUCUUGAUCUAUCUCUAUAGAUUUUGAUGCCUAAUAUAUAAGCAGCUUCUCCAAGGUCCUUCAUUGAAAAACUUUUAUUCAAGUAGGCCUUGAUGCUGUCCAAGAGUUCUAUAUCAUUUCCCAUCAAAAGUAUGUCAUCUACAUAUAAUAUGAGAAAUGCUACAGAGCUCCCACUCACUUUCUUGUAAACGCAGGCUUCUCCAUAAGUCUGUGUAAACCCAAACGCUUUGAUCAUCUCAUCAAAGCGAAUGUUCCAACUCCGAGAUGCUUGCACCAACCCAUAAAUCGAGCGUUGGAGCUUGCACACUUUGUCAGCAUUCUUAGGAUCGACAAAACCUUCCGGCUGUAUCAUAUACAAUUCUUCCUUAAGGAAACCAUUAAGGAAUGCCGUUUUGACGUCCAUUUGCCAUAUUUCGUAAUCAUAGAAUGCGGCAAUUGCUAACAUGAUCCGGACGGACUUCAGCUUCGCUACCGGCGAGAAAGUCUCAUCAUAGUCAACCCCUUGAACUUGUCGAUAACCCUUAGCGACAAGCCGAGCUUUAUAGAUGGUCACAUUACCAUCCGCGUCUGUCUUCUUCUUAAAGAUCCAUUUAUUUUCUAUGGCUCGCCGCUCAACGGGCAAGUCAGUCAAAGUCCAUACUUUGUUUUCAUACAUGGAUCCUAUCUCGGAUUUCAUGGCUUCCAGCCAUUUGUCGGAAUCCGGGCCCGCCAUCGCUUCUUCAUAGUUCGAAGGUUCACCGUUGUCUAACAGCAUGAUUUCCAAGACUGGGUUGCCGUACCACUCUGGUGCGGAACCUGUCCUUAUGGACCUUCGAAUUUCAGUAGGGGCUUGAUCAGAAGUAUCUUGAUCAUUGUCAUUAACUUCCUCUCUAGUCGGUGCAGGCACCUCAGGAACAUUUUCUUGAGUUGCGCCAUUUUCCGGUUCAAGAGGUAAUACUUCAUCAAGCUCUACUUUCCUCCCACUUCUUCUUUCGAGAGAAACUCUUUCUCCAGAAAGGACCCAUUCUUGGCAACAAAGAUCUUGCCUUCGGAUCUGAGGUAGAAGGUGUACCCAAUAGUUUCUUUUGGGUAUCCUAUGAAGACGCAUUUUUCCGAUUUGGGUUCGAGCUUUUCAGGUUGAAGUUUCUUGACAUAAGCAUCGCAUCCCCAAACUUUUAGAAACGACAGCUUAGGUUUCUUCCCAAACCAUAAUUCAUACGGUGUCGUCUCAACGGAUUUCGACGGAGCCCUAUUUAAAGUGAAUGCGGCAGUCUCUAAAGCAUAGCCCCAAAAAGAUAGCGGUAAAUCGGUAAGAGACAUCAUAGAUCGCACCAUAUCUAAUAGAGUGUGAUUACGACGUUCGGACACACCAUUACGCUGAGGUGUUCCAGGCGGCGUGAGUUGUGAAACUAUUCCACAUUUUCUUAAGUGUGUGCCAAACUCGUAACUCAAGUAUUCUCCUCCACGAUCUGAUCGUAGAAACUUGAUUUUCCUGUCACGUUGAUUUUCAACCUCACUCUAAAAUUCCUUGAAUUUUUCAAAGGUUUCAGACUUGUGUUUCAUUAAGUAGAUAUACCCAUACCUACUUAAAUCAUCAGUGAGGGUGAGAACAUAACGAUAGCCACCGCGAGCCUCAACACUCAUUGGACCGCACACAUCAGUAUGUAUGAUUUCCAAUAAGUCGGUUGCUCGCUCCAUUGUUCCUGAGAAUGGAGUCUUGGUCAUUUUACCCAUAAGGCAUGGUUCGCAUGUGUCAAAUGAUUCAUAAUCAAGAGACUCUAAAAGUCCAUCAGCAUGGAGCUUCUUCAUGCGUUUGACACCUAUGUGACCAAGGCGGCAGUGCCACAGGUAUGUGGGACUAUCAUUACCAACCUUACUUCUUUUGGUACUCACAUUAUGAACAUGUGUAGCAUCACGUUCGAGAUUCAUAAAGAACAAACCAUUCACCAUAGGAGCAUGACCAUAAAACAUAUCUCUCAUAAAAAUGGAACAACCAUUAUUCUCAGAUUUAAAAGAGUAGCCAUCUCGAAUUAAACGAGAUCCUGAUACAAUGUUCAUGCUCAAAGCUGGCACUAAAUAACAAUUAUUAAGGUUUAAAACUAAUCCCGAAGGGAGAUGCAGAGGUAGCGUGCCGACGGCGAUCACAUUGACCUUGGAACCAUUCCCGACGCGCAUCGUCACCUCGUCCUUUGCCAGUUUCCGCUUAUUCCGCAGCCCCUGCUUUGAGUUACAAAUGUGAGCAACUGCACCGGUAUCAAAUACCCAGGAGCUACUACGGGCACUAGUAAGGUACACAUCAAUUACAUGUAUAUCACAUAUACCUUUUGUUUUGCCGGCCUUCUUAUCCGCUAAGUACUUAGGGCAGUUCCGCUUCCAGUGACCGCUUCCCUUACAAUAAAAGCACUCAGUCUCGGGCUUGGGUCCAUUCUUUGGCUUCUUCCCGGCAGCUUGCUUGCCGGGCGUGGCAACCUCCUUGCCGUCCUUCUUGAAGUUCUUUUUACCCUUGCCUUUCUUGAACUUAGUGGUUUUAUUGACCAUCAACACUUGAUGUUCCUUCCUGACUUCUACCUCUGCUGAUUUCAGCAUAGCAAAUACUUCAGGAAUGGUCUUUUCCAUCCCCUGCAUAUUGAAGUUCAUCACAAAGCUCUUGUAGCUUGGUGGAAGCGACUGGAGGAUUCUGUCAAUGACCGCAUCAUCCGGGAGAUUAACUCCCAGCUGGGUCAAGCGGUUAUGCAACCCAGACAUAGUGAGUAUGUGCUCACUGACAGAACUGUUUUCCUCCAUCUUACAGCUGAAGAAUUUGUCGGAGACUUCAUAUCUCUCGACCCGGGCAUGAGCUUGGAAAACCAUUUUCAGCUCUUCGAACAUCUCAUAUGCUCCAUGUCUCUCAAAACGCUUUUGGAGCCCCGGCUCUAGGCUGUAAAGCAUGCCGCACUGAACGAGGGAGUAGUCAUCGAAACGUGCCUGCCAAGCGUUCAUAACAUCUUGUUCUGCAGGGAGAACGGGUGCGUCACCAAGCGGUGCUUGUAGGACAUAAUCUUUCUUGGCAGCUAUGAGGAUGAUCCUCAGGUUCCGGACCCAGUCCGUAUAGUUGCUGCCAUCGUCUUUCAGCUUGGUUUUCUCUAGGAACGCGUUGAAGUUGAGGACUACGUUGGCCAUUUAAUCUACAAGACAUAUUGUAAAAUAUUUAGACUAAGUUCAUGAUAAUUAAGUUCAACUAAUCAAAUUAUUAAUGAACUCCCACUUAGAUUAGACAUCCCUCUAGUCAUCUAAGUAUAACAUGAUCCGAGUUAAACUAGACCGUGUCCGAUCAUCACGUGAGACGGACUAGUCAACAUCGGUGAACAUCUUCAUGUUGAUCGUAUCUUCUAUACGACUCAUGCUCGACCUUCCGGUCUUCCGUGUUCCGAGGCCAUGUCUGUACAUGCUAGGCUCGUCAAGUCAACCUAAGUGUUUGCAUGUGUAAAUAUGUCUUACACCCGUUGUAUGUGAAUGUCUGAAUAAAACAUCCGAUCAUCACGUGGUGUUUUGAAACAGCGAACUGUCGCAACGGUGCACAGUUAGGGGGAACACUUCUUGAAAUUAGUAUGAGGGAUCACCUUAUUUACUACCGUCGUUCUAAGUAAACAAGAUGCAAAACAUGAUAAACAUCACAUGCAAUCAAAUAAUAAACGUGACAUGAUAUGGCCAAUAUCACAUAGCUCCUUUGAUCUCCAUCUUGGGGCUCCAUGAUCAUCUUGUCACCGGCUUGACACCAUGAUCUCUAUCAUCAUGAUCUCCAUCAUCGUGUCUCCAUGAAGUUGCUCGCCAACUAUUACUUCUACUACUAUGGCUAACGCGUUUAGCAAUAAAGUAAAGUAAUUUACAUGGCGUUUCUCGAUGACACGCAGGUCAUAUAAAAGAAUAAAGACAACUCCUAUGGCUCCUGCCGGUUGUCAUACUCAUCGACAUGCAAGUCGUGAAUCCUAUUACAAUAACAUGAACAUCUCAUACAUCACAUAUAGAUCAUUCAUCAUUCAUCACAACUUUGGCCAUAUCAUAUCACAAACCACUUGCUGCAAAAACAAGUUAGACGUUCUCUAAUUGUUGUUGCAAGUUUUACGUGGCUGAAUUAGGGUUCUAGCAGGAACGUCUUCUUACCUACGUUAAAGCCACAACGUGAUUUGUCAACUUCUAUUUACCCUUCAUAAGGACCCUGUUCAUCGAUUCCGCUCCAACUAAAGUAGGAGAGACAGACACCCGCCAGCCACCUUAUGCAACUAGUGCAUGUUAGUCGGUGGAACCGGUCUCACGUAAGCGUACGUGUAAGGUUGGUCCGGGCCGCUUCAUCCCACAAUACCGCUGAAUCAAGAAAGGACUAGUAACGGCAAGAAAGUUGACAAAUCUACGCCCACAACAAAUUGUGUUCUACUCGCGCAAGAAGAACUACGCAUAGACCUAGCUCAUGAUGCCACUGUUGGGGAACGUUGCAGAAAACAAAAAUUUUCCUACUCGUUUCACCAAGAUCAUCUAGGAGUUCAUCUAGCAACGAGUCAUUGGAUGCAUCUACAUAACUUUGUAGAUCGCGAGCAGAAGCGUUCAAAAGAACGGUGAUGAUGUAAUCAUACUCGACGUGAUCCAAAUCACCGAUGACCAGCGCCGAACGGACGGCACCUCCGCGUUCAACACACGUACGGGACGGGAGACGUCUCCUCCUUCUUGAUCCAGCAAGGGGGAAGGAGAGGUUGAUGAAGAUCCAGCAGCACUACGGCGUGGUGGUGGAUGCAGGGCGUCACAGCAGCAGGGCUUCGCCGAGACUACGAGGGAGAGACGUAACGGGGGGAGGUGGAGGCGCCAGGGGCUGGUGUAAAAUCCCUCCUCUCCCCCACUAUAUAUAGGGGUGCCAGGGGGGCGCCGGCCCUAGUAGAUGGCAUCUACUAGGGGGGGCGGCGGCCAAGGGGAGGUUUCCCUCCCCCCCAAGGCACCUAGGGGUGCCUUCCACCACAUGGACUCUUCCAUGGUGGAAACCCUAGGCGCAUGGGCCUAUAGGGGCUGGUGCCCUUGGCCCAUCUAGGCCAAGGCGCACCCCCUACAGCCCAUGUGGCCCCCCGGGACAGGUGGCCCCACCUGGUGGACCCCCGGGACCCUUCCGGUGGUCCCGGUACAAUACCGAUAACCCCGAAACUUGUCCCGAUGCCCGAAAUAGCACUUCCUAUAUAUAAUUCUUUACCUCCGGACCAUUCCGGAACUCCUCGUGACGUCCGGGAUCUCAUCCGGGACUCCGAACAACAUUCGGGUUUCGGCAUAUACAUAUCUUCAUAACCCUAGCGUCACCGAACCUUAAGUGUGUAGACCCUACGGGUUCGGGAGACAAGCAGACAUGACCGAGACGACUCUUCGGUCAAUAACCAACAGCGGGAUCUGGAUACCCAUGUUGGCUCCCACAUGCUCCACGAUGAUCUCAUUUGAUGAACCACGAUUCCGAGGAUUCAAUCAAUCCCGUACGCUAUUCCCUUUGUCUAUCGAUAUGUUACUUGCCCGAGAUUCGAUCGUCGGUAUCCCAAUACCUCGUUCAAUCUCGUUACCGGCAAGUCACUUUACUCGUACCGUAAUGCAUGAUCCCGUGACCAGACACUUGGUCACUCUGAGCUCAUUAUGAUGAUGCAUUACCGAGUGGGCCCAGUGAUACCUCUCUGUCAUACGGAGUGACAAAUCCCAGUCUUGAUCCAUGUCACCCAACAGACACUUCCGGAGAUACCCGUAGUCUACCUUUAUAGUCACCCAGUUACGUUGUGACGUUUGGCAUACCCAAAGCACUCCUACGGUAUCCGGGAGUUACACGAUCUCAUGGUCUAAGGAAAAGAUACUUGACAUUGGAAAACUCUAGCAAACGAACUAUACGAUCUUGUGCUAUGUUUAGGAUUGGGUCUUGUCCAUCACAUCAUUCUCCCAAUGAUGUGAUCUCGUUAUCAAUGACAUCCAGUGUCCAUAGUCAGGAAACCAUGACUAUCUGUUGAUCAACGAGCUAGUCAACUAGAGGCUCACUAGGGACAUGUCGGUGUCUGUUAUUCACACAUGUAUUACGAUUUCCGGAUAACACAAUUAUAGCAUGAAUAAAGACAAUUAUCAUGAACAAGGAAAUAUAAUAAUAAUGCUUUUAUUAUUGCCUCUAGGGCAUAUUUCCAACAACGGCACCGUCGAAUCUCAAACUUUAACUGCGAAAACUAUUGUUUUUCAUCCUGUAGUCCCUUUUAGAAUUACUAAACGUCCUUUUUUGGGCCGAGAUUUCCAGGAACGCUUUCUCAGGGUUUGUGUGCGUGUAUUUCAAAGCAUACGGACCUAAAAAUUAGAAUUCAUUCCAUCUUUAUGCCCCUAGAGCCUUCCAGCAGUUCCUAAACCGCUCCAGUCGGAUUACGUUAUCAUUCUUGUUAGUUCUGAGCGAAUCCCCUCGGUAGGAUCAUUCUUUCAUUAGUUUGUUCCCCGUUUCUUCUCUAGUCUGAGCCUAGCACACAAUUCUAGCUAGACAUGGGUGUGGCUCGUAUCACCUGAUGACCAAACGGAUCUACGACACCGUCGAAUCUCAAAUUUAACUGCCAAAACUAUUAUUUUUCAUCCUGUAGUCCCUUUUACAAUUAUUAAACAUCCUUUUUUGGGCCGAGAUUUCCAGGAACGCUUUCUCGGGGUUUGUGUGCAUGUAUUUCAAAUCAUACGGACCUAAAAAUUAGAUGUCAUUCCAUCUUUAUUCCCCUAGAGCCUUCCAGCACUUCCUAAACCGCUCUAGUCGGAGCACGUUAUCAUUCUUGUCAGUUCUGAGUGAAUUCACUUGGUAUGAUCAUUCUUUCAUCAGUUUGUUCUCCAUUUCUUCUCUAGUCUGAGCCUAGCACACUACUCUAGCUAGACAUGGGUGUGGCUCAUAACACCUCGUGACCAAACGGGUCUACGGCACCAUCAAAUCUCAAACUUUAACUGCCAAAACUAUUGUUUUUCAUUCUGUAUUCCCUUUUAGAAUUACUAAACGUCCUUUUUUGGGCCGAGAUUUCCAGGAAUGCUUUCUCGGGGUUUGUGUGCACGUAUUUCAAAUCAUAGGACCUAAAAAUUAGAAGUCAUUCCAUCUUUAUUCCCCUAGAGCCUUCCAGCAGUUCCUAAACCGCUCCAGUCAGAGCAUGUUAUCAUUCUUGGUAGUUCUGAGUGAAUUCCCUCGGUAUGAUCAUUCUUUCAUCAGUUUGUUCCCCAUUUCUUCUCUAGCCUGAGCCAAACACACUAUUCUAGCUAGACAUGUGUGUGGCUCGUAACACCUGAUGACCAAACGGAUCUACGGCACCGUCGAAUCUCAAACUUUAACUGCCAAAACUACUGUUUUUCAUCUUGUAGUCCCUUUUAGAAUUACUAAACGUCCUUUUUUGGGCCGAGAUUUCCAGGAACACUUUCUCGGGGUUUGUUUGCACGUAUUUCAAACCAUACAGACCUAAAAAUUAGAAGUCAUUCCAUAUUUAUUCCCCUAUAGCCUUCUAGCAGUUUCUAAACCGCUCCAGUCGGAGCAUGUUAUCAUUGUUGUUAGUUCUGAGUGAAUUCCCUCGGUAUGAUCAUUCUUUCAUCAGUUUGUUCCUUGUUUCUUCUCUAGCCUGAGCCUGACACACUAUUCUAGCUAGACAUGGGUGUGGCUCGUGACACCUGAUGACCAAAUGGAUCUACGGCACCGUCGAAUCUCAAACUUUAACUACCAAAACUAUUAUUUUUCAUUCUGUAGUCCCUUUUAAAUUACUAAACAUCAUUUUUUGGGCCGAGAUUUUCAGGAACGCUUUCUCGGGGUUUGUGUGCAUGUAUUUCAAAUCAUACGGACCUAAAAAUUAGAAUCCAUUCCAUCUUUAUUCCCCUAGAGCCUUCCAGCAGUUCCUAAACCGCUCCAGUCGGAGCACGUUAUCAUAAUUGUUAGUUCUGAGUGAAUUCCCUCAGUAUGAUCAUUCUUUCAUCAGUUUGUUCCCCGUUUGGUCAUCAGGUGUUACGAGCCACACCCAUGUCUAGCUAGAAUAGUGUGUUAGGCUCAGGCUAGAGAAGAAACGGGGAACAAACUGAUGAAAGAAUGAUCAUACCGAGGGAAUUCACUCAAAACUAACAAUAAUAAUAACGCGCUCCGAUUGGAGCGGUUUAGGAACUGCUGGAAGGCCCUAGGGGAAUAAAGAUGCAAUGACUUCUAAUUUUUAGGUCCUAUGAUUUUAAAUACUUGCACACAAACGACGCGAAAGUGUUCCUGGAAAUCUCAGCCCAAAAAAGGACGUUUAGUAAUUCUAAAAGGGACUAUUAGAUGAAAAACAAUAGUUUUGGCAGUUAAAGUUUGAGAUUCGACGGUGCCGUAGAUCCAUUUGGUCAUCAGGUGUUACGAGCCACACCCAUGUCUAGCUAGAAUAGUAUGUUAGGCUCAGGUUAGAGAAGAAAUGGGGAACAAACUGAUGAAAGAAUGAUCAUACCAAGGGAAUUCACUCAGAACUAACAAGAACGAUAACGUGCUCCGACUGGAGCGGUUUAGGAACUGCUGGAAGGCUCUAGGGGAAUAAAGAUGGAAUGACUUCUAAUUUUUAGGUCCGUAUGAUUUGAAAUGCUUGCACAUAAACCACGCAAAAGCGUUCCUGGAAAUCUCAGCCUAAAAAGGACGUUUAGUAAUUCUAAAAGGGACUACAGGAUGAAAAACAAAAGUUUUGGCAGUUAAAGUUUGAGAUUCGACGGUGCCGUAGAUCCGUUUGGUCAUCAGGUGUUACGAGCCACACCCAUGUCUAGCUAGAAUAGUGUAACACCCUCGAUGCAACUAUAUCUCCCACGUGUCGAGGCAGGACUUACACGCAUAAUCGCAUUGACGGCAUAUGUCGCAAAUUAGGCAAUCUUCACAACAUCCCAUGUAAUAUAGAUAAUAAAAGGGGAGAUAACAUAGUUGGCUUACACUCGCCACGUCAAUCAAGGUACAUAAAUAACAUGACAUCAUCCAAACACUCAUGGCCCGACUACGGCGCCAAAAUAAAAGAUAACCCAACAUGCGACACGGUUCCGAUCACCCCCAACUGGGCACCACUACUGAUCAUCAAGAAAGGAAACAUAGUAUCAUUGAGAGUACUCGUCGAACACCCACAUGAGCUCAAGCGCGUCACCUGGAGCUGAAUCAUCAGGCCCUGCAUCUGGUUUAAUAGUAAUCUGUGAGCCACAGGGACUCAGCAAUCUCACACCCUCGCAAUCAAGACUAUUUAAGCUUAUAGGUAAGGCAAGGUAAAUAUGUGAGCUGCAGCAAGCGACUAGCAUAUAUGGUGGCUAUCAUGUUCGAAAAAGAGGGCGAGAAGAGGAGGCUAAGCGCGAACGAAUAACUAGAGAGCAACCUGCGCAAACAUUACUCCAACACCGUGUCCACUUCCCGGACUCCACCGAGAAGAGGCCAUCACGGUAACUCACACUGUUGAUUCAUUUUAAUUAAGUUAAGGUUCAAGUUGUCUACAACCGGACAUUAACAAAUUCCCAUCUGCCCAUAACCGCGGGCACGACUUUCGAAAGUUCAAAUCCCUGCAGGGGAGUCCCAACUUAGCCCAUGACUAGCUCUCAUGGUCAACGAAGGAAUAGACCUCCUCCCGAGAUGUUCCGACCAGACUCGGUAUCUCGGUUCUUCAAGACACUUCGACAGGUUAAAACAAAUCCAGCAACACCACCCGAAUGUGCCGACAAAUCCCGAUAGGAGCUGCACAUAUCUCUUUCUCAGGGCACACUCAGAUUGUCUUAGGUACGGGUAGGCCAGCCCAGAGUUGCCCCUGGUGGCCACCGGCAGCUGACAGGUGGACCAACACUCAGAGGGGCACUAGNNNNNNNNNNNNNNNNNNNNNNNNNNNNNNNNNNNNNNNNNNNNNNNNNNNNNNNNNNNNNNNNNNNNNNNNNNNNNNNNNNNNNNNNNNNNNNNNNNNNNNNNNNNNNNNNNNNNNNNNNNNNNNNNNNNNNNNNNNNNNNNNNNNNNNNNNNNNNNNNNNNNNNNNNNNNNNNNNNNNNNNNNNNNNNNNNNNNNNNNNNNNNNNNNNNNNNNGGGGGGGGUUAAAAUAAGAUGACCCUCAGGCUCCGGAAACCCAAGGGAAAAAGAGGCUAGGUGGCAAAUGGUAAAACCAAGGUUGGGCAUUGCUGGAAAAGCUUUAAUCAAGGUGAACUAUCAAGGGGUUCCCAUUAUAACCCAACCGCGCAAGGAACGCAAAAUCCGGGAACAUAACACCGAUAUGACGGAAACUAGGGCGGCAAGAGUGGAACAAAACACUAGGAGAGAGGCCGAGCCUUCCACCCUUUACCAAGUAUAUAGAUGCAUUAAGAUAACAUGGCAAUAUAAUGAUAUCCCAACAAGUAAAUAAAUGUUCCAGCAAGGAACGGUCUCCAAUCUUCACCUGCAACUAGCAACGCUAUAAGAGGGGCUGAGCAAAGCGGUAACAUAGCCAAUCAACGGUUUGCUAGGACAUGGUGGGUUAGAGGUUUGACAUGGCAAUUUGGGAGGCUUGAAAGCAGGUGGUAGGCAUCGUAGCAUUGGCAUAGAAAAAGAGCAAGCAUCUAGCAAAGCAAAGAUAGUAGUGAUUUCGAGGGUAUGAUCAUCUUGCCUCCAAAGUUGUCAGAGUUGACUGGAUCCUCGAAAGCAAACUCAUCGGGCUCCUCGUUAGAGAACUCGUCUCCCGGCUCUACCCAAACAAGACAAACAAGCAAACGGAACACAAUCAACCACGUGCAAAGCUCAAACAAUAUGAUGCAAAGAUGAUAUGCUAUGCGGGAUGCGAUGCGGGAUGCAUAUGCAAGAUUUGACAAGGAAUGCAUGAACCUGACCUCAACUUGUGAAUCCAAGUGUGCCACUGGAAAGAUGAGAUGAAAUCUCUUGAAAACAAUAUAAAGAUCACUGGAAUCGGAGUUACGGUUUGGAAAUGGCAAGCAAAUCAAAUAUGAUCACGUUUUGCGAUUUACAGCAAGUACCCAUCUAAAUGCAAUGAGAUGAACAAGCUACAGCACCCAAACAUGGCAUAAAAAUACAUGGAAGGGAUGCAUUCCUGAUGCUUAACAAAAGUCUAGCACUGAGCUACGGCCAAUUCAUCCACUAACAGGUUCAAACAAGCAUGGCAAAAAUGCAUAUGGUAAACAUAUUUCAGACUUAGUGAAAUUAACACUUGUCUGGAAUUUCAGAUCAGGUAGCACUCUUCGGAGCAUGAAAACUAUAUGCUACAGGACCUAAACAUGGCAAAGUAAAACAUGGCAUGGAGCUACUCAAAGAUCUUAACAAAAGUCCCUUAGUGACCUUGAGCCAAAAGGGAUCAGAAAAUAUAUUUGCAAGCAUGUGAACAUGGCAAAAACAUAAUCGGAUCACAGACUUAGUGAAAACUGGAGCAUGCUGAAAACAGAUAUCAAGUAGGCAUGUUUACGAACUCGAUGCACUCACUAUAGAGCAAGUCAUGACAAUCUAAGCAUACACCCAUCAAGAAUACACAAAAUUCAAGCUAUACAUGGCAAGAACAAUAACAUAGCAUGCACGGAUCAACUACAACAUCCUCGGCAAAAUUGCUAACAAGUAGACAAUCUGCCCAGAUUCACGAAAUAGCAAAAGUAGAGCUCGAUUGACUCAAGCUAGGGUGCUCCAUAAUUGCAAACAAAGACAUGGAUGCAUAGAGCACUACAAUAUUAACAAAACAUCCUUACUUAUCAUCCUCAAAAGAGGCACGGAUCACUAGGAAACAACAUGAACAUAUAGCCAUAUGAGAUAACCAGAUCAAGGGCUUAGUGGAAUUGCUAAGUCCCUGGAAUCAGCAUUACCAAGUGCCUCACUUUGCAAGCUUGUGCUAGUCAGCACACACAUCACAAAAAUACAUGGGUUGCACCUCUGGAAAGAUGGAAAAACCCUUAACAAAACAUAUGUAGAGCUCAUGGGCAUAUCAUGCACACAAUAAUUAUGGCAAAAAUGACAAAUAUCUAAAUGGAGUAGCAGAUCUGACAAUUAUCUCAAGUAGCACUCUUCCAACAGCAUUUCGGGCAUCAAGAUGAACUCAAAUGAAAAUGAUGCAAUAAGAUGAAAUGAUGUGCUCUCUGAGACGAACAUUUUGAUAUGCUAUAUGCCCAAAACGGAGCUACGGAUGAGGAGUUACGGCAUGAUGAACAAGGGCAUAUGAAAUAGGGUUAGGGAGAAAGUCAACCGUCGUUUUGGAUCUAGAUCCAGAUCCGGAUCGCGCGCGUUUCGAGGUUUGCCGGAGAUCUGUUCGCCGGAGUAGCCGCGGGGCAUCACCGGAGGUCGGAGACAAGGAGGGAGAGGCCGGGGCGAUGUGGGCCUCUGGGGAGAGGUCGCCGGCGGGGGUUUCGGGCGGCGCGGCGCCGGUCGNNNNNNNNNNNNNNNNNNNNNNNNNNNNNNNNNNNNNNNNNNNNNNNNNNNNNNNNNNNNNNNNNNNNNNNNNNNNNNNNNNNNNNNNNNNNNNNNNNNNNNNNNNNNNNNNNNNNNNNNNNNNNNNNNNNNNNNNNNNNNNNNNNNNNNNNNNNNNNNNNNNNNNNNNNNNNNNNNNNNNNNNNNNNNNNNNNNNNNNNNNNNNNNNNNNNNNNNNNNNNNNNNNNNNNNNNNNNNNNNNNNNNNNNNNNNNNNNNNNNNNNNNNNNNNNNNNNNNNNNNNNNNNNNNNNNNNNNNNNNNNNNNNNNNNNNNNNNNNNNNNNNNNNNNNNNNNNNNNNNNGGCGGCUUGCGGACGUGAGGCGGCGGGGCGAUGUGGGCCUCGGGGGCCCCGAGCGGGCCUCGCGGGCCGGCGGCGUUGCGGCGGCAAAGUGGGCGCGCGGGCGCCACGUGGCUAGAUCUGAUAGGUCGGCGGCGGUGGGCGGACAAUGCCCGGCCAUCCGGAUUUUGUCCGGCGGCUGGAGGAGGAGGAGGGUUAGGGUUUCUCCCGAGAUUUCGAAUGGGGAAGAUAUAUAUAGGCAUAGAGGGAGCUAGGAGAUUCCAAAUGAGGUGCGGUUUUCGGCCACGCAAUCGUGAUUGAACACUCUAGAUGAUGGAGAAGGUUUAGGUGGGUUUUGGGCCAACUUGGAAGGGUGUUGGGCUGCAACACACACGAGGCCUUUAUGGUCCCUCGGUUAACCGUUGGAGUAUCAAACGAAGUCCAAAUGAUACGAAACUUAACAGGCGGUCUACCGGUAGUAAACCAAGGCCGCUUGGCAAGUCUCGGUCCAAUCCGGAAAUGUUUAAUCCCCACACACGAAAGAAAGGUAGAAAUGACCACCGGAGGAGAACGAAGCGCCUGAAUGCAAAACGGACAAUGGGGAAAAUGUUCGAAUGCAUGAGAUGAACACGUAUGCAAAUGCAAUGCACAUGAUGACAUGAUAUGAGAUGCAUGACAAUGACAACAACACACGGAGACAAAAACCCAAACCCGAGAAAAUAAAAUAACUUAAGGCCGGAAACGGCAAGAGUUGGAAUACAUAUUGGGAAAGUCAUAUCCGGGGUGUUACAACACUCCACCACUACGAAAGGAUCUCGUCCCGAGAUCUAGGACUGAAAGAACACCGGGUACUCAGAACGGAGGUGAUCCUCGCGUUCCCAGGUAGCUUCACGGUCGGAAUGGUGUGACCACUUGACUUUGAGGAAUUUGAUUGACUUGUUGCGAGUCUUGCGUUCAGUCUCUUCAAGAAUAGCAACUGGGUGCUCACAAUAAGAGAGAUCUUCUUGGAGCUCAAUGUCCUCGAAGUUGACAGUGCGGUCAGGAGUCUUGAAGCACUUUCGAAGCUGAGAGACAUGGAACACAUCAUGAACAUUUGCAAAGUUUGAAGGAAGCUCAAGUUGAUAGGCGAGAUCGCCUCUCUUGCUGACAAUCUUGAAAGGUCCCACAUAUCUAGGGGCAAGCUUCCCUUUGAUACUGAAGCGACGAGUACCUUUCAUAGGAGAGACGCGGAGGUAAACAUGAUCUCCGAUCUCGAAAGCCAAAUCACGGUGCUUACUGUCAUAGUAGCUCUUCUAGCGGGAUUGGUCUGCUUUGAGGUUAUCUCGAAUGACUUUGCACAUUUCCUCUGCCUCUAUGAUUAAGUCAUUUCCGAGAAGCUGACGUUCACCUGUUUUGGACCAGUUGAGAGGGGUACGGCACUUCCUGCCAUACAGAAUUUCAAAUGGGGCCUUGCCCGAACUUGCUUGAAAACUGUUGUUGUAGGAGAAUUCAGCAUAAGGAAGACAAUCCUCCCACUUCAUGCCGAAGGAGAUCACACAAGCCCUGAGCAUAUCUUCAAGAAUCUGGUUGACACGCUCGACUUGACCGCUAGUUUGAGGAUGGAAAGCUGUGCUGAAGCGGAUGUUGGUGCCCAUGGCCUUCUGAAAAGAAUCCCAAAACUUGGAGGUAAAGAUGCUGCCACGGUCUGAAGAGAUCACUUGUGGAAUACCGUGCAGAGAGAAAAUUCGAGAGGUAUAGACUUCCGCCAAUUGAGCUGCAGUGAUUGACUCUUUGAUAGGCAGAAAGUGAGCCACUUUAGUGAGUUUGUCGAUGACAACGAAUAUAGCAUCAUUGCCACACUUGGACUUUGGAAACCUAGUCACGAAGUCCAUUUCAAUGUGGUCAAACUUCCAUUCUGGAAUGGCAAGAGGUUGGAGGAGACCCGCUGGUCUUUGGUGUUCUGCCUUCACUCUUCUGCGGACAUCACACUCAUUCACGAACUGAGCGAUCUCGCGCUUCAUUCGAGUCCACCAGUAAGCCUGCCUGAGGUCCUGAUACAUCUUCGUACUCCCAGGGUGGAUGGAGAGGAGAGAAUUGUGAGCCUUGUUCAUGAUCACUUUACGGAGGUCACCUUUGGGCACAACAAUACGAUCCUCGAAGAAGAGAGUCUCCUUGUCAUCAAGGCGGUAGCACUUGUACUUGGGUUGACUCUUGGCAAUCACAAUCUUCACCUUUUUCACCAUAGCAUCAAGAAGCUGGGCUUGGCGAAUCUGGUCUUCCAAGGUAGGAGAUACUUGAAGGUUGGCGAGGAAACCUUGAGGAACAACUUGCAGGUUAAGUUUGCGGAAAGCUUCACAAAGCUCGGGUUGAUAAGGCUUGAGAAUUAGACUGUUGCAAUAAGCCUUUCUGCUCAAUGCGUCAGCAAUCACAUUGGCCUUGCCUGGAGUAUACUCGAUACUCGGAUUAUACUCUUGAAUCAUUUCGACCCAUCGAGUUUGCCUAAGGUUGAGAUUAGGCUGAGUGAAGAUGUACUUGAGACUCUUGUGAUCAGUGAAAAUGUCCACUUUUCUUCCCAAUAAGAGAUGUCUCCAAGUCAAAAGAGCAUGCACAACUGCCGCCAACUCGAGAUCAUGAGUGGGGUAGUUCUUCUCAUUGGGCUUCAAUUGGCGAGAGGUAUAAGCAACAACUUUCUUCUCUUGCAUCAACACUGCGCCAAGACCUUGGAGAGAGGCAUCACAAAAGACCUCGUACGGCUUGGAUUCAUCAGGCGGAGUCAGAACUGGAGCAGUGAUCAAUUUCUCUUUCAAAGUGUUGAAAGCAAUGUCACACUCCGGAGACCAAACGUACUUGACGUGCUUCUGGAGAAGAUUUGAGAGAGGCUUCGCGAUCUUAGAAAAGUUUUCAACGAAUCUUCGAUAGUAGCUUGCGAGACCGAGGAAGCUACGAAGUUGCUUCACGUUCUGAGGAGGUUCCCAAUUCACAAUUGCAGACACCUUCUCAGGAUUCAUGGCAAUGCCCUUGGCAGAGAUGAUAUGACCAAGAUAAAGAACCUCAUCGAGCCAAAAUUCGCACUUGGAGAACUUGGCGUAGAACUUGUGUUCCCUCAACUUAUCGAGUACCAAACGCAAGUGCUUGGCAUGAUCUUCCUUGUUCUUCGAGCAAACCAGAAUGUCGUCGAGAUAGACCAAAUGAAGUCAUUGGUGUAGGCAUUGAAGAUGAAGUUCAUCAUGCGAGAGAAAGUCGGAGGAGCGUUGACGAGGCCAAAAGACAUGACAGUGUAUUCAUAUGACCCAUAGCUUGUCCUGAAAGCCGUCUUGGGAAUAUCUUGCUCACAGAUUUGAAUAUGAUGAUAACCCAUACGGAGAUCAAGCUUGGAGAAUACUUGCGCACCUUUGAGUUGUUCGAACAGCUUGUUGAUGUUGGGAAGUGGGUAUUUGUUCUUGAUAGUCUUCUUGUUCAAUGGACGGUAAUCAACACAAAGCCGAUCCGUUCCAUCCUUCUUCUUCACAAAAAGAACACCACAACCCCACGGAGAAGAACUAGGCUGGAUGAGACCCAUUCUCUCUUGAAUAUCGAGUUGCUUCUUCAGCUCCUUCAACUCUUCAGGUCCGAGCUUGUAAGGACGCUUGCACACUGGUUCCGUGCCAGGAUCAAGAUCGAUGACGAAUUUAACUGGCCGAUGCGGAGGCAUUCCUAGAAGCUCUUUUGGAAAGACGUCUUGAUAUUCGCAAACGACUGGAAUUUGCGAGAUAGCAUCCAGUUCACCCUUCUCAUUGAGAGAAAACAGACGGAUGGUAUCAUCACAAGCGGCAAAGACAAUUACAUCCUCAGACGAAUGAGUCAAUUGAAUCUGCCUGGCUGCACAAUCAAGCUGAGCCUUGUGCUUAGAAAGCCAAUCCAUUCCGAGAAUAAGAUCAAUAUCCGAGUCCCCAAGAACUGUAGGAGAAGAUAGAAAUUUGUAGUCUCCCAAAGUGAUAGUAACAUCUGGAGCAAUGGAGUUAGCAUGCAUGCGCCUACCGGGAGAGACAACUACUAAUGGACUAGGCAAAAUUUGCAAAGCCAACCCAUGCUUAGAUGAAAACGGUCUCGAUAUGAAAUAAUGCGAUGCACCCGUGUCAAAAAGAACUUUUGCAGGAAUAUCGUUAAUAGGAAGGUUACCCAUGAUGACAUCUGACGAGUCUGCAUUCAUCAAGUUGACCUUGGCGUGCUUGGGGUUAUGCUUGACCACAGGUGUACUUGCCCUCACAGGAGGAGGAGGAGGAGGAAGACGCCUCUGGUUGAAACACUUGUUGGCAUAGUGACCCUUCUAUUGGCACUUGUUGCACGUGACCUCUGAAAGUGGACGGUGAUACGGAGCACUCGAUCUUGGAGCUUGAGACGAAGUCUUGUUCUGAAAGCCAGGGUUGGGUGGGUGGGAAGAUCCACUGCCACCUUUGCUCUUCUGCUGAUACGGCUGACGGAACGGAGGAGGAGGAAGCCAAUACUUCUGCUGCUUGGCCACUUGAGUAGAGGAAGAAGGAGUAACAUCUCUAACUCGCUUCUUGGAAGCAUCACACCUCAGUUGAGCGGCAUCUUGCUUCAAUGCCAUGUUGUAGAACUCAUCGUACCUCAAGGGCUCAAAGAGAACAAGAGCUAGCUGAAUUUCCUCUCUGAGACCACCCCUGAACUGGUAUAUCAUGCUCUUCUCAUCAGGGACGUCCUGCUUGGCAAAGCGGGCGAGCUUCUGAAACAGCUUGUUGUAGUCAUAGACUGACAAAGAGCCUUGCUUCAGGUUGUGGAAUUCCUCACGCUUGCUUUCAACCACGCUCUGAGAAAUAUGAUGAGCUCUGAAAUCUUGACGGAAUUCAUCCCAGGUAAUAACACAUCCACCUCUGGAAUCCUUGUACUGCUGGAACCAUUCUGCAGCUUGAUCUUUGAGUUGGAAGGAAGCAAACUUGACGAAGUCCUCAGGCCCGACGUUACUGCACUUGAAAUGCUUGCACAGAUCCACGAGCCAAUCGUCAGCAUCGGUUGCCUCAACACAAUUGUUGAAAGUCUUUGGCCCAUUAGCAAGGAACUGGUUGAGAGUGGCAAAGUGAUUCUGAUUGUUGCCUUGGUUCCCUUGGUUGCCUUGAUUGCACUCUUGAAGAAUUUGCAUGAUCAACUGUGUGUUUGCAUUGGUUGCGGCCAUCACAGCUUGCCAUGCCUCCGGAGGAGGGGGAGGUGGUGGCGGAUCUUGAUUCUGAUUCUGAUUGGUGCUCUUAGCGGGAGCCAUCCUGAAGAGGUUGACCACCGUUAGCACAUAGAUAGAUAAAAUGAAGCUGAAUCCAAUGGAAUGAAAAUUGCAACAUAAAGUCUUCACAUCCGAACAGAAUGAACGAAUGCAUUCCUCUUGAAAUGGUCACAUAUCCAUAAAUUGACAAGCCACUUAGAAUUUAUGUAGAGAAAUAAAUCAACAAGGUAUGGAUCAAGAACGAAUACUCGGUAAGAAAUCCCAAUCUCAAACCAAAUAUCCGUGGAAGAAGAGCUAGAGCUACUUGAAUUCCCACCUAUGAAACUCCCGAACCUUUCCGGUUAUGCAAUCAGGUGUUGGGGAUACAGGGGAAGCAUAAUAUCUCACCCAAAUCUAGCAAAUCAUACAUCCAGCUGUAUCCAUCCUUCAACACAUAACCGAGAAAACUUCGGAAACCAUCUACCUCAACCUUCGAAAAGCAUCCGUUAUACAAGUUAUGGCGAUACUCCCGAACUCCCGCCCCAUUACGGGGUGGCGUCGAGGUUAUCUCACCAACGAACUACAUAAAAGAGAUUUUCGAUGUCGGCGUACUAAACUCAGGUAUUCCAGAACUGCAACGAUAAAAUUAUGACGACAACACCUCAGAGCUCAACUCCCCGGGACACUUCCACAAAACCCCUGACAGGAGGCACCAAGACAAUGUUCUCGUCAUAAAACCAUCGGAACGAUUCCAAGAUACCCGUGUGAUCCUAAAAAAAAUUAGUGAAAUUUGAGAAAAGAAGAGUCAAAACUCUACGUCAGGAUGCUUUACCAGAGCGAUGAGGAGACUGGGAAGUAAAAAAGAAUUCCUAAACUCUCCGAUAUAUAAUUCCUAAAUGACUCAAAACAUUUUUCUAGACACAACUCAGCCGCUAAUAAUGAUCAAGCAAUGGGGCUCCUAAGGUCGGGGAAGGCUCUAAUUACCAACUUGUAACACCCUCGAUGCGACUAUAUCUCCCACGUGUCGAGGCACGACUUAGAGGCAUAAUCGCAUUAAAGGCAUAUGUCGCAAAUUAGGCAAUCUUCACAACAUCCCAUGUAGUAUAGAUAAUAAAAGGGGAGAUAACAUAGUUGGCUUACACUCGCCACGUCAAUCAAGGUACAUAAAUAACAUUACAUCAUCCAAACACUCAUGGCCCGACUACGGCACCAAAAUAAAAGAUAACCCAACAUGCGACACGGUCCCGAUCGCCCCCAACUGGGCACCACUACUGAUCAUCAGGAAAGGAAACAUAGUAUUGUUGAGAGUGUUGGAGAACGUAGUAAUUUCAAAAAAAUUCCUAUGCACAUGCAAGAUCAUGGUGAUGCAUAGCAACGAGAGGGGAGAGUGUGAUCUACGUAUUUGUAGACCGACAGCGGAAGCGUUAGCACAACGCGGUUGAUGUAGUCGUACGUCUUCACGGCCCGACCGAUCAAGCACCGAAACUAUGGCACCUCCGAGUUUUAGCAUACGUUUAGCUCGAUGACGAUCCCCGGACUCCGAUCCAGCAAAGUGUCGGGGAAGAGUUCCGUCAGCACGACGGCGUGGUGACGAUCUUGAUGUACUAUCGUCGCAGGGCUUCGCCUAAGCACCGCUACAAUAUUGUCGAGGAUUAUGGUGGAAGGGGGCACCGCACACGGCUAAGAAUAUGAUCACGUGGAUCAACUUGUGUGUCUAGGGGUGCCCCCUGCCCCCGUAUAUAAAGGAUCAAGGGGAGGAGGCCGGCCGGCCCCUAUGGCGCGCCAAGGAGGAGUCCUCCUCCUAGUAGGAGUAGGACUCCUACUAGGAGGGGGAAAGAAGUGGGGAGGGAGAAGGAAAGGGGGGCGCCGCCCCCCCCUCUCCUAGUCCAAUUUGGACCAGGGGGGAGGAGGCGCGCGGCCCACCUUUGGCUGCCCCUUUCCCUCUCCACUAAGGCCCAUAUGGCCCAUUACUUCUCCCGGGGGGGUUCCGGUAACCCUCCGGCUCUCCGGUUUUCUCCGAAAUCACCCGGAACACUUCCGGUGUCCGAAUGUAGCCGUCCAAUAUAUCAAUCUUUAUGUCUCGACCAUUUAGAGACUCCUCGUCAUGUUCGUGAUCACAUCCGGGACUCCGAACUAACUUCGGUACAUCAAAACUCAUAAACUCAUAAUAUAACUGUCAUUGAAACCUUAAGCGUGCGGACCCUACGGGUUCGAGAACAAUGUAGACAUGACCGAGACACGUAUCCGGUCAAUAACCAAUAGCGGAACCUAGAUGCUCAUAUUGGCUCCUACAUAUUCUACGAAGAUCUUUAUCGGUCAGACUGCAUAACAACAUACGUUGUUCCCUUUGUCAUCGGUAUGUUACUUGCCCGAGAUUCGAUCGUCGGUAUCUCAAUACCUAGUUCAAUCUUGUUACCGGCAAGUCUCUUUACUCGUUUCGUAAUACAUCAUCUCGCAACUAACUCAUUAGUUGCAAUGCUUGCAAGGCUUAAGUGAUGUGCAUUACCGAGAGGGCCCAGAGAUACCUCUCCGACAAUCGGAGUGACAAAUCCUAAUCUCGAAAUAUGCCAACCCAACAUGUACCUUUGGAGACACCUGUAGAGUACCUUUAUAAUCACCCAUUUAUGUUGUGACGUUUGGUAGCACACAAAGUGUUGCUCCGGCAAACGGGAGUUGCAUAAUCUCAUAGUCAUAGGAACAUGUAUAAGUCAUGAAGAAAGCAAUAACAACAUACUAAACGAUCGGGUGCUUAGCUAAUGGAAUGGGUAAUGUCAAUCAGAUCAUUCACCUAAUGAUGUGAUCCCGUUAAUCAAAUAACAACUCUUUGUUCAUGGUUAGGAAACAUAACCAUCUUUGAUUAACGAGCUAGUCAAGUAGAGGCAUACUAGUGACACUCCGUUUGUCUAUGUAUUCACACAUGUAUUAUGUUUCCGGUUAAUACAAUUCUAGCAUGAAUAAUAAACAUUUAUCAUGAUAUAAGGAAAUAAAUAAUAACUUUAUUAUUGCCUCUAGGGCAUAUUUCCUUCAGAGAGUCCUCGUCGAACUCCCACUUGAGCUCAAGCGCGUCACCUGGAGUGGAAUCAUCAGGCCCUGCAUCUGGUUUAAUAGUAAUCUGUGAGCCAGAGGGACUCAGCAAUCUCGCACCCUCGCGAUCAAGACUAUUUAAGCUUAUAGGUAAGGCAAGGUAAAUAUGUGGAGCUGCAGCAAGCGACUAGCAUAUAUGGUGGCUAUCCUGUUCGCAAAAGAGGGCGAGAAGAGAAGGCUAAGCGCGAAUGAAUAACUAGAGAGCAACCUGCGCAAACAUUACUCCAACACCGUGUCCACUUCCCGGACUCCGCCGAGAAGAGGCCAUCACGGUAACUCACACUGUUGAUUCAUUUUAAUUAAGUUAAGGUUCAAGUUGUCUACAACCGGACAUUAACAAAUUCCCAUCUGCCCAUAACCACGGGCACGGCUUUCGAAAGUUCAAAUCCCUGCAGGGGAGUCCCAACUUAGCCCAUGAUAAGCUCUCACGGUCAACGAAGGAAUAGACCUCCUCCCGAGACGUUCCGAUCAGACUCGGUAUCUCGGUUCUUCAAGACACUUCGACAGGUUAAAACAAAUCCAGCAACACCGUCCGAAUGUGCCGACAAAUCCCGAUAGGAGCUGCACAUAUCUCUUUCUCAGGGCACACUCAGAUUGUCUUAGGUACGGGUAGGCCAGCCCAGAGUUGCCCCUGGUGGCCACCGGCAGCUGACAGGUGGACCAACACUCAGAGGAGCACUGGCCCGGGGGGGUUUAAAAUAAGAUGACCCUCGGGCUUCGGAAACCCAAGGGAAAAAGAGGCUAGGUGGAAAAUGGUAAAACCAAGGUUGGGCAUUGCUGGAAAAUCUUUAAUCAAGGCGAACUAUCAAGGGGUUCCCAUUAUAACCCAACCGCGUAAGGAACGCAAAAUCCGGGAACAUAACACCGAUAUGAUGGAAACUAGGGCGGCAAGAGUGGAACAAAACACUAGGCGAGAGGCCGAGCCUUCCACCCUUUACCAAGUAUAUAGAUGCAUUAAGAUAACAUGCCAAUAUAAUGAUAUCCCAACAAGUAAAUAAAUGUUCCAACAAGGAACGGUCUCCAAUCUUCACCUGCAACUAGCAACGCUAUAAGAGGGGUUGAGCAAAGCGGUAACAUAGCCAAUCAACAGUUUGCUAGGACAUGGUGGGUUAGAGGUUUGACAUGGCAAUUUGGGAGGCUUGAAAGCAAGUGGUAGGCAUCGUUGCAUUGGCAUAGCAAAAGAGCGAGCAUCUAGCAAAGCAAAGAUAGUAGUGAUUUUGAGGGUAUGAUCAUCUUGCCUGCAAAGUUGUCAAAGUUGACUGGAUCCUCGAAAGCAAACUCAACGGGCUCCUCGUUAGCGACCUCGUCUCCCGGCUCUACCCAAACAAGACAAACAAGCAAACAGAACACAAUCAACCACGUGCAAAGCUCAAACAAUAUGAUGCAAAGAUGAUAUGCUAUGCGGGAUGCAUAUGCAAGAUUUGAUAAGGAAUUCACGAACCUGGCCUCAACUUGGGAAUCCAAGUGUGCCACUGGAAAGAUGAGAUGAAAUCGCUUGAAAACGAUAUAAAGAUCACCGGAAUCGGGGUUACGGUUUGGAAAUGGCAAGCAAAUCAAAUAUGAUCACGUUCUGCGAUUUACAGCAAGUAGCCAUCUAAAUGCAAUGAGAUGAACAAGCUACAGCACCCAAACAUGGCAUAAAAAUACAUGGCAGGGAUGCAUUCCUGAUUCUUAACAAAAGUCUAGCACUGAGCUACGGCCAAUUCAUCUAUUAACAGGUUCAAACAAGCAUGGCAAAAAUGCAUAUGGUAAACAGAUUUCAGACUUAGUGAAAUUAACACUUGUCUGGAAUUUCAGAUCAGGUAGCACUCUUCGGAGCAUGAAAACUAUAUGCUACAGGACCUGAACAUGGCAAAGUAAAACAUGGCAUGGAGCUACUCAAAGCGCUUAACAAAAGUCCCUUAGUGAACUGGAGCCAAAAGGGAUCAGAAAAUACAUUUGCAAGCAUGUGAACAUGGCAAAAACAUAAUCAGAUCAUAGACUUAGUGAAAACUGGAGCAUGCUGAAAACAGAUAUCAAGUAGGCAUGUUUAUGAGCUCGAUGCACUCACUACAUAGCAAGUCAUGACAAUCUAUGAAUACACCCAUCAAGAAUACACAAAAUGCAAGCUAGACAUGGCAAGAACAAUAACAUAGCAUGCACGGAUCAACUAAAACAUCCUCGGCAAAAUUGCUAACAAGUAGACAAUCUGCCCAGAUUCACGAAAUAGCAAAAGUAGAGCUCGGUUGACUCAAGCUAGGGUGCUCCAUAAUUGCAAACAAAGACAUGGAUGGAUAGAGAACUACAAGAUUAACAAAACAUCCUUACUUAUCAUCCUCAAAAGAGGCACGGAUCACUAGGAAACAACAUGAACAUAUGGCCAUAUGAGAUAACCAGAUCAAGGACUUAGUGGAAUUGCAAAGUCCUUGAAAUCAGCAUUACCAAGUGCCUCACUUUGCAAGCUUGUGCUAGUCAGCACACACAUCACAAAAAUACAUGGGUUGCACCUCUGGAAAGAUGGCAAAACCCUUAACAAAACAUAUGUAGAGCUCAUGGGCAUAUCAUGCACACAAUAAUCAUGGCAAAAAUGACAAAUAUCUAAAUGGAGUAGCAGAUCUGACAAUUAUCUCAAGUAGCACUCUUCCAACAGCAUUUAGGGCAUUAAGAUGAACUCAAAUUAAAAUGAUGCAAUGCGACGAAAUGAUGUGCUCUCUGAGGCGAACAUUUUGAUAUGCUAUAUGCCCAAAACGGAGCUACGGAUGAGGAGUUACGGCACGAUAAACAAGGGCAUAUGAACUAGGGUUAGGGAGAAAGUCAACCGUCGUUUUGGAUCUAGAUCCAGAUCCGGAUCGCGCGUGUUUCGAGGUUCGCCGAAGACCUGUUCGCCGGAGUAGCCGCGGGGCGUCGCUGGAGGUCGGAGACGAGGAGGGAGAGGCCGGGGCGAUGUGGGCCUCGGGGGAGAGGUCGCCGGCGGGUGUACCGCGCGGCGCCGCGCCUGUCGGGAGGCGGCGGGGUCGGUCCGGCGGGCUCGCAGCCNNNNNNNNNNNNNNNNNNNNNNNNNNNNNNNNNNNNNNNNNNNNNNNNNNNNNNNNNNNNNNNNNNNNNNNNNNNNNNNNNNNNNNNNNNNNNNNNNNNNNNNNNNNNNNNNNNNNNNNNNNNNNNNNNNNNNNNNNNNNNNNNNNNNNNNNNNNNNNNNNNNNNNNNNNNNNNNNNNNNNNNNNNNNNNNNNNNNNNNNNNNNNNNNNNNNNNNNNNNNNNNNNNNNNNNNNNNNNNNNNNNNNNNNNNNNNNNNNNNNNNNNNNNNNNNNNNNNNNNNNNNNNNNNNNNNNNNNNNNNNNNNNNNNNNNNNNNNNNNNNNNNNNNNNNNNNNNNNNNNNNNNNNNNNNNNNNNNNNNNNNNNNNNNNNNNNNNNNNNNNNNNNNNNNNNNNNNNNNNNNNNNNNNNNNNNNNNNNNNNNNNGGGCGCGGCGCCGAUGGCCUCGGGCGGCCGGACGCGAGGAGGGUGGUGGCGGCUUGCGAACAUGAGGCGGCGGGGCGAUGUGGGCCUCGGGGGCCCCGAGCGCUGCGGCGGCGAAGUGGGCGCGUGGGCGCCACGUGGCAAGAUCUGGUAGGUCGGCGGCGGUGGGCGGACAAUGUCCGGCCGUCCGGAUUUUGUCCGGCGGCUGGAGGAGGAGGAGGGUUAGGGUUUCUCCUGAGAUUUCAAUGGGGAAGAUAUAUAUAGGCAUAGAGGGAGCUAGGAGAGUCCAAAUGAGGUGCGGUUUUCGGCCACGCGAUCGUGAUCGAACUCUCUAGAUGAUGGAGAAGGUUUAGGUGGGUUUUGGGCCAACUUGGAAGGGUGUUGGGCUGCAACACACACGAGGCCUUUACGGUCCCUCGGUUAACCGUUGGAGUAUCAAACAAAGUCCAAAUGAUACGAAACUUGACAGGCGGUCUACCGGUAGUAAACCAAGGCCGCUUGGCAAGUCUCGGUCUAAUCCGGAAAUGUUUAAUCCCCACACACGAAAGAAAGGUAGAAAUGACCACCGGAGGAGAACGAAGCGCCGGAAUGCAAAACGGACAACGGGGAAAAUGCUCGAAUGCAUGAGAUGAACAUGUAUGCAAAUGCAAUGCACAUGAUGACAUGAUAUGAGAUGCAUGACAACGACAAAAACACACGGAGACAAAAACCCAAACCCGAGGAAAUAAAAUAACAUAAGGCCAGAAAUAGCAAGAGUUGGAAUACAUAGUGGGAAAGUCAUAUCCGGGGUGUUACAAAUAAUGUGUUAGGCUCAGGCUAGAGAAGAAAUAGGGAACAAACUUAUGAAAGAAUGAUCAUACCGAGGGAAUUCACUCAGAACUAACAAGAAUGAUCACGUGCUCCGACUGGAGCGCUUAGGAACUGCUGGAAGGAUCUAGGGGAAUAAAGAUGGAAUGACUUCAAAUUUUUAGGCCCAUAUGAUUUGAAAUACUUGCACACAAACCGCGAGAAAGCGUUCCUGGAAAUCUCAGCCCAAAAAAGGAUGUUUAGUAAUUCUAAAAGGGACUACAGGAUGAAAAACAAUAGUUUUGGCAGUUAAAGUUUGAGAUUUGACGGUGUCGUAGAUCCGUUUGGUCAUCAGGUGUUACGAGCCACACCCAUGUCUAGCUAGAAUAGUGUGUUAGGCUCAGGCUAGAGAAGAAACGGGGAACAAACUGAUGAAAGAAUGAUCAAACCGAGGGGAUUCACUCAGAACUAACAAGAAUGAUAACGUGCUCCGACUAGAGCGGUUUAGGAACUUCUGGAAGGCUCUAGGGGAAUAAAGAUGGAAUGACUUCUAAUUUUUAGGUCCGUAUGAUUUGAAAUACUUUCACACAAACCGCGCGAAAGCGUUCCUGGAAAUCUCAGCCCCAAAAAGGACGUUUAGUAAUUCUAGAAGGGACUAUAGGAUGAAAAACAAUAGUUUUGGUAGUUAAAGUUUGAGAUUCGAUGGUGCCGUGGAUCCGUUUGGUCAUCAGGUGUUACGAGCCACACCCAUGUCUAGCUAGAAUAGUAUGUUAGGCUCAGGUUAGAGAAGAAACGGGGAACAAACUGAUGAAAAAAUGAUCAUACCAAGGGAAUUCACUCAGAACUAACAAGAAUGAUAACGUGCUCCGACUGGAGCGGUUUAGGAACUGCUGGAAGGCUCUAGGGGAAUAAAGAUGGAAUGACUUCUAAUUUUUACGUCCGUAUGAUUUGAAAUACUUGCACACAAACCACGCAAAAGCGUUCCUGGAAAUCUCAGCCUAAAAAAGGACGUUUAGUAAUUCUAAAAGGGACUACAGGAUGAAAAAUAAUAGUUUGGGCAGUUAAAAUUUGAGAUUCAACGGUGCCGUAGAUCCGUUUGGUCAUGAGGUGUUACGAGCCACACCCAUGUCUAGCUAGAAUAGUGUGUUAGGCUCAGGCUAGAGAAGAAACGGGGAACAAAUUGAUGAAAGAAUGAUCAUACCGAGGGAAUUCACUCAGAACUAACAAGAAUGAUAACGUGCUCCGACUGGAGCAGUUUGGAAACUGUUGGUAGGCUCUAGGGGAAUAAAGAUGGAAUCACUUCAAAUUUUUAGGUCCGUAUGAUUUGAAAUACUGGCACACAAACCGCGCGAAAGUGUUCCUGGAAAUCUCAGCCCAAAAAAGGACGUUUAGUAAUUCUAAAAGGGACUACAGGAUGAAAAACAAUACUUUUGGCAGUUAAAGUUUGAGAUUCGACGGUGCCGUAGAUCUGUUUGGUCAUCAGGUGUAACGAGCCACACCCAUGUCUAGCUAGAGUAGUGUGCUAGGCUCAGACUAGAGAAGAAACGGGGAACAAAGUGAUGAAAGAAUGAUCAUACCGAGGGAAUUCACUCAGAACUAACAAGAAUGAUAACGUGCUCCGACUGGAGCGGUUUAGGAACUGCUGGAAGGCUCUAGGGAAAUAAAGAUGGAAUGACUUCUAAUUUUUAGGUCCAUAUCAUUUGAAAUACGUGCACACAAACCCCGAGAAAGCGUUCCUGGAAAUCUCGGCCGAAAAAAGGAUGUUUAAUAAUUCUAAAAGGGACUACAGGAUGAAAAACAAUAGUUUUGGCAGUUAAAGUUUGAGAUUUGACGGUGCCGUAGAUCUGUUUGGUCAUCAGGGGUUACGAGCCACACCCAUGUCUAGCUAGAAUAGUGUGUUAGGCUCAGGCUAGAGAAGAAACGGGGAACAAAUUGAUGAAAGAAUGAUCAUACCGAGGGAAUUCACUCAGAACUAACAAGAAUGAUAACGUGCUCCGACUGGAGCAGUUUGGAAACUGUUGGUAGGCUCUAGGGGAAUAAAGAUGGAAUCACUUCUAAUUUUUAGGUCCGUAUGAUUUGAAAUACAUGCACACAAACCCCAAGAAAGCGUUCCUGGAAAUCUCGCCCCGAAAAACGACGUUUAGUAAUUCUAAAAGGGACUACAGGAUGAAAAACAAUACUUUUGGCAGUUAAAGUUUGAGAUUCGACGGUGCCGUAGAUCUGUUUGGUCAUCAGGUGUAACGAGCCACACCCAUGUCUAGCUAGAGUAGUGUGCUAGGCUCAGACUAGAGAAGAAACGGGGAACAAAGUGAUGAAAGAAUGAUCAUACCGAGGGAAUUCACUCAGAACUAACAAGAAUGAUAACAUGCUCCGACUGGAGCGGUUUAGGAAGUGCUGGAAGGCUCUAGGGAAAUAAAGAUGGAAUGACUUCUAAUUUUUAGGUCCAUAUCAUUUGAAAUACGUGCACACAAACCCCGAGAAAGCGUUCCUGGAAAUCUCGGCCGAAAAAAGGAUGUUUAAUAAUUCUAAAAGGGACUACAGGAUGAAAAACAAUAGUUUUGGCAGUUAAAGUUUGUGAUUCGAUGGUGCCGUAGAUCUGUUUGGUCAUCAGGUGUUACGAGCCACACCCAUGUCUAGCUAGAACAGUGUGUUAGGCUCAGGCUAGAGCAGAAACGGGGAACAAACUUAUGAAAGAAUGAUCAUACCGAGGGAAUUCACUCAGAACUAACAAGAAUGAUAACGUGCUCCAACUGGAGCGGUUUAGGAACUGCUGGAAGGCUCUAGGGGAAUAAAGAUGGAAUGACUUCAAAUUUUUAGGUCCGUAUGAUUUGAAAUACUUGCACACAAACCGCUAGAAAGCGUUCCUGGAAAUCUCAGCCCAAAAAAGGACGUUUAGUAAUUCUAAAAGGGACUACAGGAUGAAAAACAAUAGUUCUGGCAGUUAAAGUUUGAGCUUCGAUAAUGUCGUAGAUCCGUUUGGUCAUCAGGUGUAACGAGCCACACCCAUUUCUAGCUAGAGUAGUGUGCUAGGCUCAGACUAGAGAAGAAAUGGGCAACAAACUAAUGAAAGAAUGAUCAUACCGAGGGAAUUCACUCAGAACUAACAAGAAUGAUAACGUGCUCCGACUGGAGCGGUUUAGGAACUGCUGGAAGGCUCUAGGGGAAUAAAGAAGGAAUGACUUCUAAUUUUUAGGUCCGUAUGAUUUGAAAUGUGUGCACACAAACCCCGAGAAAGCAUUCCUGGAAAUCUCGGCCCAAAAAAGGACGUUUAGUAAUUCUAAAAGGGACUACAGGAUGAAAAACAAUAGUUUUGGCAGUUAAAGUUUGAGAUUCGAUAAUGCCGUAGAUCCGUUUGGUCAUCAGGUGUAACGAGCCACACCCAUGUCUGGUUAGAGUAGUGUGCUAGGCUCAGACUAGAUAAGAAACGGGGAACAAACUGAUGAAAGAAUGAUCAUACCGAGCGAAUUCACUCAGAACUAACAAGAAUGAUAACAUGCUCCGACUGGAGCGGUUUAGGAACUGCUGGAAGGCUCUAGGGGAAUAAAGAUGGAAUGACUUCUAAUUUUUAGGUCCGUAUGAUUUGAAAUACUUGCACACAAACCACGCGAAAGCGUUCCUGGAAAUCUCAGCCCAAAAAAGGACGUUUAGUAAUUCUAAAAGGGACUACAGGAUGAAAAACAAUAGUUUUGGCAGUUAAAGUUUGAGAUUCGACAGUGCCGUAGAUCCGUUUGGUCAUCAGGUAUUACGAGCCACACCCAUGUCUAGCUAGAAUAGUGUGCUAGGCUCAGGCUAGAGAAGAAACGGGGAACAAACUGAUGAAAGAAUGAUCAAACCGAGGGAAUUCACUCAGAACUAACAAUAAUGAUAACGUGCUCCGACUGGUGCGGUUUAGGAACUGCUGGAAGGCUCUAGGGGAAUAAAGAUGGAAUGACUUCUAAUUUUUAGGUCCGUAUGAUUUGAAAUACUUGCACACAAACCGCGCGAAAGCGUUCCUGGAAAUCUCAGCCCAAAAAAGGACGUUUAGUAAUUUUAAAAGGGACUAUAGGAUGAAAAACAAUAGUUUUGGCAAUUAAAGUUUGAGAUUCGACGGUGUCGUAGAUCCGUUUGGUCAUCAGGUGUUACGAGCCACACCCAUGUCUAGCUAGAAUAGUAUGUCAGGCUCAGGUUAGAGUAGAAACGGGGAACAAACUGAUGAAAGAAUGAUCAUACCAAGGGAAUUCACUCAGAACUAUCAAGAAUGAUAACGUGCUCCGACUGGAGUGAUUUAGGAACUGCUGGAAGGCUCUAGGGGAAUAAAGAUGGAAUGACUUCUAAUUUUUACGUCCGUAUGAUUUGAAAUACUUGCACACAAAUCACGCAAAAGCGUUCCUGGAAAUCUCAGCCUAAAAAAGGACGUUUAGUAAUUCUAAAAGGGACUACAGGAUGAAAAACAAUAGUUUGGGCAGUUAAAAUUUGAGAUUCGACGGUGCCGUAGAUCCGUUUGGUCAUCAGGUGUUACGAGCGACACCCUUGUCUAGCUAGAAUAGUGUGUUAGGCUCAGACUAGAGAAGAAACGGGGAACAAAGUGAUGAAAGAAUGAUCAUACCGAGGGAAUUCACUCAGAACUAACAAGAAUGAUAACGUGCUCCGACUGGAGCGGUUUAGUAACUGCUGGAAGGCUCUAGGGGAAUGAAGAUGGAAUGACUUCUAAUUUUUAGGUCCGUAUGAUUUGAAAUACAUGCACACAAACCCUGAGAAAGCGUUCCUGGAAAUCUCGGUCGAAAAAAGGAUGUUUAAUAAUUCUAAAAGGGACUACCGGAUGAAAAACAAUAGUUUUGGCAGUUAAAGUUUGUGAUUCGAUGGUGCCGUAGAUCUGUUUGGUCAUCAGGUGUUACGAGCCACACCCAUGUCUAUCUAGAAUAGUGUGUUAGGCUCAGGCUAGAGCAGAAACGGGGAACAGACUUAUGAAAGAAUGAUCAUACCGAGGGAAUUCACUCAGAACUAACAAGAAUGAUAACGUGCUCCGACUGGCGCGGUUUAGGAACUGCUGGAAGGCUCUAGGGGAAUAAAGAUGGAAAGACUUCUAAUUUUUAGGUCCGUAUGAUUUGAAAUACUUGCACACAAACCGCACGAAAGCGUUCCUGGAAAUCUCAGCCUAAAAAGGAUGUUUAGUAAUUCUAAAAGGGACUACAAGAUGAAAAAUAAUAGUUUGGGCAGUUAAAAUUUGAGAUUCGACGAUGCCGUAGAUCCGUUUGGUCAUCAGGUGUUAUGAGCCACACCCAUGUCUAGCUAGAAUAGUGUGUUAGGCUCAGGCUAGAGAAGAAACGGGGAACAAACUGAUGAAAGAAUGAUCAUACCGAGGGAAUUCACUCAGAACUAACAAGAAUGAUAACGUGCUCCGACUGGAGCAGUUUAGAAACUGCUGGAAGGCUCUAAUGGAAUAAAGAUGGAAUGCCUUCAAAUUUCUAGGUCCGUAUGAUUUGAAAUACUUGCACACAAACCGCUCGAAAGCGUUCCUGGAAAUCUCAGCCCAAAAAAGGACGUUUAGUAAUUCUAAAAGGGACUACAGGAUGAAAAACAAUAGUUUUGGCAGUUAAAGUUUGAGAUUCGAUGGUGCCGUAGAUCCGUUUGGUCAUCAGGUGUAACGAGCCACACACAUGUCUAGCUAGAGUAGUGUGCUAGGCUCAGACUAGAGAAGAAACGGGGAACAAAGUGAUGAAAGAAUGAUCAUACCGAGGGAAUUCACUCAGAACUUACAAGAAUGAUAACGUGCUCCGACUGGAGCGCUUUAGUAACUGCUGGAAGGCUCUAGGCGAAUAAAGAUGGAAUGACUUCUAAUUUUUAGGUCCGUAUGAUUUGAAAUACUUGCACACAAACCACGCAAAACCGUUCCUAGAAAUCUCGGUCGAAAAAAGGACGUUUAGUAAUUCUAAAAGGGACUACAGGAUGAAAAACAAUAGUUUUGGCAGUUAAAGUUUGAGAUUCGAUGGUGCCGUAGAUCCGUUUGGUCAUCAGGUGUUACGAGCCACACCCAUGUCUAGCUAGAGUAGUGUGCUAGGUUCAGACUAGAGAAGAAACGGGGAACAAAGUGAUUAAAGAAUGAUCAUACCGAGGGAAUUCACUCAGAACUAACAAGAAUGAUAACGUGCUCCGACUGGAGCGGUUUAGGAACUGCUGGAAGGCUCUAGGGGAAUAAAGAUGGAAUGACUUCUAAUUUUUACGUCCGUAUGAUUUGAAAUACAUGCACACAAACCACGCAAAAGCGUUCCUGGAAAUCUCAGCCUAAAAAAGGACGUUUAGUAAUUCUAAAAGGGACUACAGGAUGAAAAAUAAUAGUUUGGGCAGUUAAAAUUUGAGAUUCGACGCUGCCGUAGAUCCGUUUGGUCAUCAGGUCUUACGAGCCACACCCAUGUCUAGCUAGAAUAGUGUGUUAGGCUCAGGCUAGAGAAGAAACGGGGAACAAACUGAUGAAAGAAUGAUCAUACCGAGGGAAUUCACUCAGAACUAACAAGAAUGAUAACGUGCUCCGACUGGAGCAGUUUAGAAACUCCUGGAAGGCUCUAGGGGAAUAAAGAUGGAAUGACUUCAAAGUUUUAGGUCCGUAUGAUUUGAAAUACUUGCACACAAACCGCGUGAAAGCGUUCCUGGAAAUCUCAACCCAAAAAAGGGCGUUUAGUAAUUCUAAAAGGGACUACAGGAUGUAAAACAAUAGUUUUGGCAGUUAAAGUUUGAGAUUCGAUGGUGCCGUAGAUCCGUUUGGUCAUCAGGUGUAACGAGCCACACCCAUGUCUAGCUAGAGUAGUGUGCUAGGCUCAGACUAGAGAAGAAACGGGGAACAAAGUGAUGAAAGAAUGAUCAUACCGAGGGAAUUCACUCAUAACUAACAAGAAUGAUAACGUGCUCUGACUUGAGCGGUUUAGGAACUGCUGGAAGGCUAUAGGGGAAUAAAGAUGGAAUGACUUCAAAUUUUUAGGUCCGUAUGAUCUGAAAUACUUGCACACAAACCGCGAGAAAGCGUUCCUGGAAAUCUCAACCCAAAAAAGGACGUUUAGUAAUUCUAAAAGGGACUACAGGAUGAAAAACAAUAGUUCUGGCAGUUAUUGUUUGAGAUUCGAUAAUCUCGUAGAUCCGUUUGGUCAUCAGGUGUAACGAGCCACACCCAUGUCUAGCUAGAGUAGUGUGCUAGGCUCAGACUAGAGAAGAAACGGGGAACAAACUGAUGAAAGAAUGAUCAUACCGAGGGAAUUCACUUAGAACUAACAAGAAUGAUAACGUGCUCCGACUGGAGCGGUUUAGGAACUGCUGGAAGGCUCUAGGGGAAUAAAGAAGGAACGACUUCUAAUUUUUAGGUCCGUAUGAUUUGAAAUAUGUGCACACAAACCACGAGAAAGCGUUCCUAGAAAUCUCGGCCCAAAAGAGGACGUUUAGUAUUCUAAAAGGGACUACAGAAUGAAAAACAAUAGUUUUGGCAGUUAAAGUUUGAGAUUUGACGGUGCCGUAGAUCUGUUUGGUCAUCAGGGGUUACGAGCCACACCCAUGUCUAGCUAGAAUAGUGUGUUAGGCUCAGGCUAGAAAAGAAACGGGGAACAAAGUGAUGAAAGAAUGAUCAUACCGAGGGAAUUCACUCAGAACUAACAAGAAUGAUAACAUGCUCCGACUGGAGCGGUUUAGGAACUGCUGGAAGGCUCUAGGGGAAUAAAGAUGGAAUGACUUCUAAUUUUUAGGUCCGUAUGAUUUGAAAUACUUGCACACAAACCGCGCGAAAGCGUUCCUGGAAAUCUCAGCCCAAAAAAGGACGUUUAGUAAUUCUAAAAGGGACUACAGGAUGAAAAACAAUAGUUUUGGCAGUUAAAGUAUGAGAUUCAACGGUGCCGUAGAUCCGUUUGGUCAUUAGGUGUUACGAGCCACACCCAUGUCUAGCUAGAAUAGUGUGCUAGGCUCAGGCUAGAGAAGAAACGGGGAACAAACUGAUGAAAGAAUGAUCAAACCGAGGGAAUUCACUCAGAACUAACAAUAAUGAUAACGUGCUCCGACUGGAGCGGUUUAGGAACUGCUGGAAGUCUCUAGGGGAAUAAAGAUGGAAUGACUUCUAAUUUUUACGUUCGUAUGAUUUGAAAAACUUGCCCAUAAACCGCGCGAAAGUGUUCCUGGAAAUCUCAGCCCAAAAAAGGACGUUUAGUAAUUUUAAAAGGGACUACACGAUGAAAAACAAUAGUUUUGGCAGGUAAAGUUUGAGAUUCGACAGUGCCGUAGAUCCGUUUGGUCAUCAGGUGUUACGAGCCACACCCAUGUCUAGCUAGAAUAGUAUGUUACGCUCAGGUUAGAGAAGAAACGGGGAACAAACUGAUGAAAGAUGAUCAUACCAAGGGAAUUCACUCAGAACUAACAAGAAUGAUAACGUGCUCCGACUGGAGCGGUUUAGGAACUGCUGGAAGGCUCUAGGGGAAUAAAGAUGGAAUGACUUCUAAUUUUUACGUCUGUAUGAUUUGAAAUACUUGCACACAAACAACGCAAAAGCAUUCCUGGAAAUCUCAUCCUAAAAAAGGACGUUUAGUAAUUCUAAAAGGGACUACAGGAUGAAAAAUAAUAGUUUGGGAAGUUAAAAUUUGAGAUUCGAUAGUGCCGUAGAUCCGUUUGGUCAUCAGGUGUUAGGAGCCACACCCAUGUCUAGCUAGAAUAGUGUGUUAGGCUCAGGCUAGAGAAGAAACAGGGAACAAACUGAUGAAAGAAUGAUCAUACCGAGGGAAUUCACUCAGAACUAGCAAGAAUGAUAACGUGCUCCGACUGGAGCAGUUUUGAAACUGCUGGAAGGCUCUAGGGGAAUAAUGAUGGAAUGACUUCUAAGUUUUUGGUCCGUAUGAUUUGAAAUACGUGCACACAAACCCAGAGAAAGUGUUCUUGGAAAUCUCGGCCGAAAAAAGGAUGUUUAAUAAUUCUAAAAGGGACUACAGGAUGAAAAACAAUAGUUUUGGCAGUUAAAGUUUGUGAUUCGAUGGUGCUGUAGAUCUGUUUGGUCAUCAGGUGUUAUGAGCCACACCCAUGUCUAGCUAGAACAGUGUGUUAGGCUCAGGCUAGAGCAGAAACGGGGAACAAACUUAUGAAAGAAUGAUCAUACCGAGGGAAUUCACUCAGAACUAACAAGAAUGAUAACGUGCUCCGACUGGAGAGGUUUAGGAACUGCUGGAAGGCUCUAGGGGAAUAAAGAUGGAAUGACUUCAAAUUUUUAGGUCUGUAUGAUCUGAAAUACUUGCACACAAACCGCGAGAAAGCGUUCCUGGAAAUCUCAGCCCAAAAAAGGACGUUUAGUGAUUCUAAAAGGGACUACGGGAUAAAAAACAAUAGUUUUGGCAGUUAAAGUUUGAGAUUCGAUAAUGCCGUAGAUCCGUUUGGUCAUCAGGUGUAACGAGCCACACCCAUGUCUAGCUAGAGUAGUGUGCUAGGCUCAUACUAGAGAAGAAAUGGGGAACAAACUGAUGAAAGAAUGAUCAUACCGAGGGAGUUCACUCAAAACUAACAUGAAUGAUAACGUGCUCCGACUGGAGCGGUUUAGGAACUGCUGGAAGGCUCUAGGGGAAUAAAGAUGGAAUGACUUCUAAUUUUUAGGUCCGUAUGAUUUGAAAUACAUGCACACAAACCCCAAGAAAGCGUUCCUGGAAAUCUCGCCCCGAAAAACGACGUUUAGUAAUUCUAAAAGGGACUAUAGGAUGAAAAACAAUAGUUUUGGCAGUUAAAGUUUGAGAUUUGACGGUGCCGUAGAUCUGUUUGGUCAUCAGGUGUUACGAGCCACACCCAUUUCUAGCUAGAAUAGUGUGUUAGGCUCAGGCUAGAAAAGAAACGGGGAACAAAGUGAUGAAAGAAUGAUCAUACCGAGGGAAUUCACUCAGAACUAACAAGAAUGAUAACAUGGUCCGACUGGAGCGGUUUAGGAACUGCUGGAAGGCUCUAGGGGAAUAAAGAUGGAAUGACUUCUAACUUUUAGGUCCGUAUGAUUUGAAUUACUUGCACACAAACCGCGCGAAAGCGUUCCUGGAAAUCUCAGCCCAAAAAAGGACGUUUAGUAAUUCUAAAAGGGACUACAGGAUGAAAAACAAUAGUUUUGGCAGUUAAAGUUUGAGAUUCGACGGUGCCGUAGAUCCGUUUGGUCAGCAGGUGUUACGAGCCACACCCAUGUCUAGCUAGAGUAGUGUGCUAGGUUCAGACUAGAGAAGAAAUGUUGGGGAACGUAGCAGAAAUUCAAAAUUUUCCUACGUGUCACCAAGAUCUAUCUAUGGAGAGACUAGCAACGAGGGAAGGAGAGUGCAUCUACAUACCCUUGUAGAUCGCUAAGCGGAAGCGUUCAAGUGAACGGGGUUGAUGGAGUCGUACUCGUCGUGAUUCAGCUCACCGAUGAUCCUAGUGCCGAACGGACGGCACCUCCGCGUUCAACACACGUACAGCUCGACGAUGUCUCCCACGCCUUGAUCCAGCAAGGAGAGAGGGAGAGGUUGAGGAAGACUCCAUCCAGCAGAAGCACAACGGCGUGGUGGUGAUGGAGGAGCAUGGCAAUCCUGCAGGGCUUCGCCAAGCACCUAUGGGAGAGGAGGAGGUGUCACGGGAGGGAGGGAGGCGCCAAGGGCUCAGGUAUAGAUGCCCUCCCUCCCCUCCACUAUAUAUAGGGGCAAGGGAGAGGGGGGAGGCGCAGCCUUGCCCCUUCCUCCAAGGAAGGGGUGCGGCUAAGAGGGGGGGAGGAGUCCAUCCUCCCCAAGGCACCUCGGAGGUGCCUUCCCCCUUUAGGACUCUCCCCUUUUUCCUAUAUCUUGGCGCAUGGGCCUCUAGGGGCUGGUUCCCUUGGCCCAUGUAGGCCCAGGCGCACCCCCUACAGCCCAUGUGGCCCCCCGGGGCAGGUGGCCCCACCUGGUGGGCCCCCGGGACCCUUCCGGUGGUCCCGGUACAAUACCGAUGACCCCGAAACUUGUCCCGAUGGCCGAAACAGGACUUCCUAUAUAUAAAUCUUUACCUCCGGACAAUUCCGGAACUCCUCGUGACGUCCGGGAUCUCAUCCGGGACUCCGAACAACAUUCGGUAACCACAUACAAACUUCCUUUAUAACCCUAGCGUCAUCGAACCUUAAGUGUGUAGACCCUACGGGUUCGGGAGACAUGUAGUCAUGACCGAGAUGUUCUCCGGUCAAUAACCAACAGCGGGAUCUGGAUACCCAUGUUGGCUCCCACAUGUUCCACGAUGAUCUCAUCGGAUGAACCACGAUGUCAAGGACUCAAUCAAUCCCGUAUACAAUUCCCUUUGUCUAGCGGUAUGGUACUUGCCCGAGAUUCGAUCGUCGGUAUACCGAUACCUUGUUCAAUCUCGUUACCGGCAAGUCUCUUUACUCAUUUCGUAACACAUCAUCCCGUGAUCAACCCCUUGGUCACAUUGUGCACAUUAUGAUGAUGUCCUACCGAGUGGGCCCAGAGAUACCUCUCCGUUUACACGGAGUGACAAAAUCCCAAUCUCGAUUCGUGCCAACCCAACAGACACUUUCAGAGAUACCCGUAGUGUACCUUUACAGCCACCCAGUUACGUUGUGACGUUUGGCACACCCAAAGCACUCCUACAGUAUCCGGGAGUUGCACAAUCUCAUGGUCUAAGGAAAUGAUACUUGACAUUAGAAAAGCUUUAGCAUACGAACUACAUGAUCUUGUGCUAGGCUUAGGAUUGGGUCUUGUCCAUCACAUCAUUCUCCUAAUGAUGUGAUCCCGUUAUCAACGACAUCCAAUGUCCAUGGUCAGGAAACCGUAACCAUCUAUUGAUUAACGAGCUAGUCAACUAGAGGCUUACUAGGGACAUGGUGUUGUCUAUGUAUCCACACAUGUAUCUAAGUUUCCUAUCAAUACAAUUCUAGCAUGGAUAAUAAACGAUUAUCAUGAACAAGGAAAUAUAAUAAUAAUCAAUUUAUUAUUGCCUCUAGGGCAUAUUUCCAACAGUCUCCCACUUGCACUAGAGUCAAUAAUCUAGUUCACAUCGAUAUGUGAUUAACACUCAAGGUCACAUUCCCAUGUGACUAACACCCAAGAGUUUACUAGAGUCAAUAAUCUAGUUCACAUUUACCAUGUGAUUAACACUUGAUGAGUUCUGGGUUUGAUCAUGUUAUGCUUGUGAGAGAGGUUAUAGUCAACGGGUCUGAACCUUUCAGAUCCGUGUGUGCUUUACAAAUCUCUAUGUCAUCUCCUAGAUGCAGCUACCACGUUCUAUUUGGAGCUAUUCCAAAUAACUGUUCUACUUGGAGCUAUUCUAAAUUGUUGCUCCAUUAUACGUAUCCGGUAUCUCUACUCAGAGCUAUCCGGAUAGGUGUUAAGCUUGCAUCGACGUAACCCUUUACGACGAACUCUUUUACCACCUCCAUAAUUGAGAAAAUUCCUUAGUCCACUAGUUACUAAGGAUAACUUUGACCGCUGUCCUGUGAUCCAUUCUUGGAUCACUCUUGUACCCCUUGACUGACUCAUGGUAAAGCACACUUCAGGUGCGGUACACAGCAUAGCAUACUGUAGAGCCUAUGUCUUAAGCAUAGGGGACGACCUUCGUUCCUUUCUCUCUAUUCUGCCAUGGUCGAGCUUUAAGUCUUAACUUCAUACCUUACAACUCAGGCAAGAACUCCUUCUUUGACUGAUCCAUCUUGAACACCUUCAAGAUCACGUCAAGGCAUGUGCUCACGUCAAGAUCACGUCGGUAUACCGAUACCUUGUUCAAUCUCGUUACCGGCAAGUCUCUUUACUCGUUCCGUAACACAUCAUCCCGUGAUCAACCCCUUGGUCACAUUGUGCACAUUAUGAUGAUGUCCUACCGAGUGGGCCCAGAGAUACCUCUCCGUUUACACGGAGUGACAAAAUCCCAAUCUCGAUUCGUGCCAACCCAACAGACACUUUCAGAGAUACCCGUAGUGUACCUUUAUAGCCACCCAGUUACGUUGUGACGUUUGGCACACCCAAAGCACUCCUACGGUAUCCGGGAGUUGCACAAUCUCAUGGUCUAAGGAAAUGAUACUUGACAUUAGAAAAGCUUUAGCAUACGAACUACAUGAUCUUGUGCUAGGCUUAGGAUUGGGUCUUGUCCAUCACAUCAUUCUCCUAAUGAUGUGAUCCCGUUAUCAACGACAUCCAAUGUCCAUGGUCAGGAAACCGUAACCAUCUAUUGAUUAACGAGCCAGUCAACUAGAGGCUUACUAGGGACAUGGUGUUGUCUAUGUAUCCACACAUGUAUCUGAGUUUCCUAUCAAUACAAUUCUAGCAUGGAUAAUAAACGAUUAUCAUGAACAAGGAAAUAUAAUAAUAAUCAAUUUAUUAUUGCCUCUAGGGCAUAUUUCCAACAGUCUCCCACUUGCACUAGAGUCAAUAAUCUAGUUCACAUCACCAUGUGAUUAACACUGACAGGUCACAUCACCAUGUGACCAACAUCCAAAGAGUCUUGGGUUUGAUCAUGUUGCUUGUGAGAGAGGUUAUAGUCAACGGGUCUGAACCUUUCAGAUCCGUGUGUGCUUUACAAAUCUCUAUGUCAUCUCCUAGAUGCAGCUACCACGUUCUAUUUGGAGCUAUUCCAAAUAACUGUUCUACUUGGAGCUAUUCUAAAUUGUUGCUCCAUUAUACGUAUCCGGUAUCUCUACUCAGAGCUAUCCGGAUAGGUGUUAAGCUUGCAUCGACGUAACCCUUUACGACGAACUCUUUUACCACCUCCAUAAUUGAGAAAAUUCCUUAGUCCACUAGUUACUAAGGAUAACUUUGACCGCUGUCCUGCGAUCCAUUCUUGGAUCACCCUUGUACCCCUUGACUGACUCAUGGUAAAGCACACUUCAGGUGCGGUACACAGCAUAGCAUACUGUAGAGCCUAUGUCUUAAGCAUAGGGGAUGACCUUCGUUCCUUUCUCUCUAUUCUGCCAUGGUCGAGCUUUAAGUCUUAACUUCAUACCUUACAACUCAGGCAAGAACUCCUUCUUUGACUGGUCCAUCUUGAACACCUUCAAGAUCAUGUCAAGGUAUGUGCUCAUUUGAAAGUACUAUUAAGCGUUUUGAUCUAUCCUUAUAGAUCUUGAUGCUCAAUGUUCAAGUAGCUUAAUCCAGGUUUUCCAUUGAAAACACUUUCCAAAUAACCCUAUAUGCUUUCCAGAAAUUCUACGUCAUUUCUGAUCAUUAAUAUGUCAACAACAUAUAAUCAUCAGAAAUUCUAUAGUGCUCCCACUCACUUCUUUGGAAAUACAAGUUUCUCAUAAACUUUGUAUACACCCAAAAUCUUUGAUCAUCAUCAAAGCAUACAUUCCAACUCCGAGAUGCUCACUCCAGUCCUCAGAAGGAUUGCUGGAGCUUUGCAUACUUAUUAGCAUAUUUCAGGAUAGACAAAACCUUCCAGUUGUAUCACAUACAACCUUUCCUCAAGAAUCGUCGACGAAACAAUGUUUUGACAUCCUAUCUGCAAGAUUUCAUAAAUAAUGCAGUAAUUGUUAAUAUAAUUCCAACAGACUCUUAGCAUCGCUACGAGUGAGAAAGUCUCAUUGUAGUCAACUCCUUGAACUUGUCAAAAAACAUCUUAACGACAAGUCGAGCUUUCUCAAUGGUGACACUUACCAUCAUUGUCUGUCUUCCUUUCAAAAUCCAUAUGUACCUAACAGCCUUACGACCAUCAAGUAGUUCUUCCAAAGUCUACACUUUGUUUUCAUACAUGGAUCCUCUCUCGGGUUUUAUGGCCAUGAGCCAUUUAUCGGAAUCCGGGCCCACCAUUGCUUCUCCAUAGCUCGUAGGUUCAUUGUUGUCUAGCAACAUGACUUCCAAGACAGGAUUACUGUACCACUCUGAAGUAGUACGUAUCCUUGUCACCCUACGAGGUUUGGGAGUGACUUGAUCUGAAGUUUCAUGAUCACUAUCAUAAGCUUCUACUUCAAUUGGUGUAGGUGCCACAGGAACAACUUCCUGUGCCCUGCUACACACUGGUUGAAGUGAUGGUUCAAUAACCUCAUCAAGUCUCCACCAUCCUCCCACUCAAUUCUUUCGAGAGAAACCUUUCCUCGAGAAAGGACCCAAUUCUAGAAACAAUUCAUAUUGCUUUCGGAUCUGAAUUAGGAAGUAUACCCAACUGUUUUGGGUGUCCUAUGAAGAUGUACUUUAUCCGCUUUGGUUUCGAGCUUAAUCCUGAAACUUUUUCACAUAAGUGUCGCAGCCCCAAACCUUUAAGAAACGACAACUUAGGUUUCUCUAAACCAUAAUUCAUACGGUGUCAUCUCAUCGGAAUUACGUGGUGCCCUAUUUAAAGUGAAUGUGGUUGUCUUUAAUGCCUAACCCAUAAACUAUCGUGGCAGUUCGAUAAGAGACAUCAUGGUAUGCAUCAUAUCCAAUAGGGUGCAACUAUGAUGUUCGGACACACCAUCACACUAUGGUGUUCCAGGCGGUAUUAAUUGUGAAACAAUUUCCACAAUGUCUUAAUUGUGUGCCAAAACUCGUAACUCAGAUACUCAUCUCUAUGAUCAUAUCAUAGACAUUUUAUCCUCUUGUCACAAUGAUCUUCUACUUCACUCUGAAAUUACUUGAACCAUUCAACAAUUCAGACUUGUGUUUCAUCAAGUAAAUAUUCUCAACAUCUACUCGAAUCAUCUGUGAAGUAAGAACAUAACGAUAUUCACUGCAUGCCUCAGCACUCAUUGGACUGCACACAUCAAAAUGUGUUACUUCCAACAAGUUGCUAUCUUGUUCCAUCUUACUGAAAACGAGGCUUUUCAGUCAUCUUGCCCAUGUGGUAUGAUUUGCAUGUCCCAAGUGAUUCAAAAAUCAAGUGAGUCAAAACGGUCCAUUUGCAUGGAGUUUCUUCAUGCAUAUACACCAAUAGACAUGGUUCGCAUGUCUCAAACUUUUCAAAAACGAGUGAGCCCAAAGAUCCAUCAAUAUGGAGCUUCUUCAUGCGUUUUAUACCGAUAUGACUUACGUGGUAGUGCCACAAGUAGGUGGUACUAUCAUUACUAUCUUUUGGCAUGAACAUGUGUAUCACUACGAUCGAGAUUUAAUAAACCAUUCAUUUUAGGUGUAAGACCAUUGAAGGUAUUAUUCAAAUAAACAGAGUAACCAUUAUUCUCCUUAAAUGAAUAACCGUAUUGCGAUAGACGUAAUCCAAUCAUGUCUAUGCUCAACGCAAACACCAAAUAACAAUUAUUUAGGUUUAACACCAAUCUCUUUGGUAGAGGGAGCGUGCGAUGCUUGAUCAUAUCAAGCAUGGAAAAACUUACAACACAUAUCGUCAGCUCACCUUUAGCUAGUCUCUGUUUAUUCCGUAGCCUUUUGUUUCGAGUUACUAACACUUAGCAACCGAACUGGUAUCUAAUACCCUGGUGCUACUAGGAGUACUAGCAAAGUACACAUUAACACAAUGUAUAUCCAAUAUACUUCUAUCGACCUUGCCAGCCUUCUUAUCUACCAAGUAUCUAGGGUAAUUCUGCUCUAGUAGUUGUUCCCCUUAUUACAGAAGCACUUAGUCUCGGGUUUGGGUUUUACCUUGGGUUUCUUCACUAGAGCAGCAGCUGAUUUGCCGUUUCAUGAAGUAUCCCUUCUUGCCCUUGCCCUUCUUGAAACUAGUGGUUCCACCAACCAUCAACAAUUGAUGCUCCUUCUUGAUUUCUACUUUCGCGGUGUCAAACAUCGCGAAUACCUCAAGGAUCAUCAUAUCUAUCCCUGAUAUGUUAUAGUUCAUCAUGAAGCUCUAACAGCUUGGUGGCAAUGACUUUGGAGAACCAUCACUAUCUCAUCUGGAAGAUCAACUCCCACUCGAUUCAAGCGAUUGUUGUACUCAGACAAUCUGAGCACAAGCUCAACGAUUGAGCUUUUCUCCCUUAGUUUGCAGGUUAAGAAAGUCAUCGGAGGUCUUAUACCUCUUGACAUGGGCACGAGCCUGAAAUCCCAAUUUCAGCCCUCAAAACAUCUCAUAUGUUUCGCGAUGUUUCAAAAACGUCUUUGGUGCCUCAACUCUAAACCGUUUAACUGAACUAUCACGUAGUUAUCAAAACGUGUAUGUCAGAUGUUCGCAACAACCACAGACAACGUUCGAGGUUCAGCACACUGAGCGGUGCAUUAAGGACAUAAGCCUUCUAUGAAGCAAUGAGGACAAUCCUCAGUUUACGGACCUAGUCCGCAUAAUUGCUACUAUCAACUUUCAACUAAUUUUUCUCUAGGAACAUAUCUAAACAGUAGAACUAUAGCGUGAGCUACGACAUAAUUUGCAAAAACCUUUUGACUAUGUUCAGGAUAAUUAAGUUCAUCUUAUGAACUCCCACUCAGAUAGACAUCCCUCUAGUCAUCUAAGUGAUUACAUGAUCCGAGUCAAACUAGGCCGUGUCCGAUCAUCACGUGAGACGGACUAGUCAUCAUCGGUGAACAUCUUCAUGUUGAUCGUAUCUUCUAUACGACUCAUGUUCGACCUUUCGGUCUUCGUGUUCCGAGGCCAUGUAUGUACAUGCUAGGCUCGUCAAGUUAACCCUAAGUGUUUCGCGUGUGUAAAUCUGUCUUACACCCGUUGUAUGUGAACGUUAGAAUCUAACACCCGAUCAUCACGUGGUGCUUCGAAACACGAACUGUCGCAACGGUGCACAGUUAGGGGAGAACACUUCUUGAAAUUGUUGUAAGGGAUCAUCUUAUUUACUACCGUCGUUCUAAGCAAAUAAGAUGUAUAAACAUGAUAAACAUCACAUGCAAUCAAAUAGUGACAUGAUAUGGCCAUCAUCACUUUGCUCCUUUUGAUCUCCAUCUUCGGGGCUCCAUGAUCAUCAUCGUCACCGGCAUGACACCAUGAUCUCCAUCAUCAUGAUCUCCAUCAUCGUGUCUUCAUGAAGUUGCCUCGCCAACUAUUACUUCUACUACUAUGGCUAACGGUUAGCAAUAAAGUAAAGUAAUUACAUGACGUUUAAGUUGACACGCAGGUCACAAAUGAAUAAAGACAACUCCUAUGGCUCCUGCCGGUUGUCAUACUCAUCGACAUGCAAGUCGUGAUUCCUAUUACAAGAACAUGAUCAAUCUCAUACAUCACAUAUAUCAUUCAUCACAUCCUUUUUGGCCAUAUCACAUCACAUAGCAUACCCUGCAAAAACAAGUUAGACGUCCUCUAAUUGUUGUUUGCAUGUUUUACGUGGCUGCUAUGGGUUUCUAGCAAGAACGUUUCUUACCUACGCAUGAACAACAACGUGAUAUGCCAAUUGCUAUUUACCCUUCAUAAGGACCCUUUUCAUCGAAUCCGAUCCGACUAAAGUGGGAGAGACAGACACCCGCCAGCCACCUUAUGCAACUAGUGCAUGUUUGUCGGUGGAACCGGUCUCACGUAAGCGUACGUGUAAGGUUGGUCCGGGCCGCUUCAUCCCACGAUGCCGCCGAAUCAAGAUAAGACUAGUAACGGCAAGCAUAUUGAACAAUAUCAACGCCCACAACUACUUUGUGUUCUACUCGUGCAAAGAAUCUACGCAAUAGACCUAGCUCAUGAUGCCACUGUUGGGGAACGUAGCAGAAAUUCAAAAUUUUCCUACGUGUCACCAAGAUCUAUCUAUGGAGAUACUAGCAACGAGGGAAGGAGAGUGCAUCUACAUACCCUUGUAGAUCGCUAAGCGGAAGCGUUCAAGUGAACGGGGUUGAUGGAGUCGUACUCGUCGUGAUUCAGAUCACCGAUGAUCCUAGUGCCGAACGGACGGCACCUCCGCGUUCAACACACGUACAGCUCGACGAUGUCUCCCACGCCUUGAUCCAGCAAGGAGAGAGGGAGAGGUUGAGGAAGACUCCAUCCAGCAGCAGCACAACGGCGUGGUGGUGAUGGAGGAGCGUGGCAAUCCUGCAGGGCUUCGCCAAGCACCUACGGGAGAGGAGGAGGUGUCACGGGAGGGAGGGAGGCGCCAAGGGCUCAGGUAUAGAUGCCCUCCCUCCCCUCCACUAUAUAUAGGGGCAAGGGAGAGGGGGAGGCGCAUCCUUGCCCCUUCCUCCAAGGAAGGGGUGCGGCUAAGAGGGGGGGAGGAGUCCAUCCUCCCCAAGGCACCUCGGAGGUGCCUUCCCCCUUUAGGACUCUCCCCUUUUUCCUAUAUCUUGGCGCAUGGGCCUCUAGGGGCUGGUGCCCUUGGCCCAUGUAGGCCAAGGCGCACCCCCCUACAGCCCAUGUGGCCCCCCGGGGCAGGUGGCCCCACCCGGUGGGCCCCCGGGACCCUUCCGGUGGUCCCGGUACAAUACCGAUGACCCCGAAACUUGUCCCGAUGGCCGAAACAGGACUUCCUAUAUAUAAAUCUUUACCUCCGGACCAUUCCGGAACUCCUCGUGACGUCCGGGAUCUCAUCCGGGACUCCGAACAACAUUCGGUAACCACAUACAAACUUCCUUUAUAACCCUAGCGUCAUCGAACCUUAAGUGUGUAGACCCUACGGGUUCGGGAGACAUGUAGUCAUGACCGAGAUGUUCUCCGGUCAAUAACCAACAGCGGGAUCUGGAUACCCAUGUUGGCUCGCACAUGUUCCACGAUGAUCUCAUCGGAUGAACCACGAUGUCAAGGACUCAAUCAAUCCCGUAUACAAUUCCCUUUGUCUAGCGGUAUGGUACUUGCCCGAGAUUCGAUCGUCGGUAUACCGAUACCUUGUUCAAUCUCGUUACCGGCAAGCCUCUUUACUCGUUCCGUAACACAUCAUCCCGUGAUCAACCCCUUGGUCACAUUGUGCACAUUAUGAUGAUGUCCUACCGAGUGGGCCCAGAGAUACCUCUCCGUUUACACGGAGUGACAAAAUCCCAAUCUCGAUUCGUGCCAACCCAACAGACACUUUCAGAGAUACCCGUAGUGUACCUUUAUAGCCACCCAGUUACGUUGUGACGUUUGGCACACCCAAAGCACUCCUACGGUAUCCGGGAGUUGCACAAUCUCAUGGUCUAAGGAAAUGAUACUUGACAUUAGAAAAGCUUUAGCAUACGAACUACAUGAUCUUGUGCUAGGCUUAGNNNNNNNNNNUGAUCAACCCCUUGGUCACAUUGUGCACAUUAUGAUGAUGUCCUACCGAGUGGGCCCAGAGAUACCUCUCCGUUUACACGGAGUGACAAAAUCCCAAUCUCGAUUCGUGCCAACCCAACAGACAUUUUCAGAGAUACCCGUAGUGUACCUUUAUAGCCACCCAGUUACGUUGUGACGUUUGGCACACCCAAAGCACUCCUACGGUAUCCGGGAGUUGCACAAUCUCAUGGUCUAAGGAAAUGAUACUUGACAUUAGAAAAGCUUUAGCAUACGAACUACAUGAUCUUGUGCUAGGCUUAGGAUUGGGUCUUGUCCAUCACAUCAUUCUCCUAAUGAUGUGAUCCCGUUAUCAACGACAUCCAAUGUCCAUGGUCAGGAAACCGUAACCAUCUAUUGAUUAACGAGCUAGUCAACUAGAGGCUUACUAGGGACAUGGUGUUGUCUAUGUAUCCACACAUGUAUCUGAGUUUCCUAUCAAUACAAUUCUAGCAUGGAUAAUAAACGAUUAUCAUGAACAAGGAAAUAUAAUAAUAAUCAAUUUAUUAUUGCCUCUAGGGCAUAUUUCCAACAAGAAACGGGGAACAAACUGAUGAAAGAAUGAUCAUACCGAGGGAAUUCACUCAGAACUAACAAGAAUGAUAACGUGCUUUGACUGGAGCGGUUUAAAAACUGCUGGAAGGCUCUAGGGGAAUAAAGAUGGAAUGCCUUCAAAUUUCUAGGUCCGUAUGAUUUGAAAUACUUGCACACAAACCGCGCGAAAGCGUUCCUGGAAAUCUCAGCCCAAAAAAGGACGUUUAGUAAUUCUAAAAGGGACUACAGAAUGAAAAACAAUAGUUUUGGCAGUUAAAGUUUGAGAUUCGAUGGUGCCGUAGAUCCGUUUGGUCAUCAGGUGUAACGAGCCACACCCAUGUCUAGCUAGAGUAGUGUGCUAGGCUCAGGCUAGAGAAGAAACGGGGAACAAACUGAUGAAAGAAUGAUCAUACCGAGGGAAUUCACUCAGAACUAACAAGAAUGAUAACGUGCUCCGACUGGAGCGGUUUAGGAACUGCUGGAAGGCUCUAGGGGAAGAAAGAAGGAAUGACUUCUAAUUUUUAGGUCCGUAUGAUUUGAAAUACGUGCACACAAACCGCGCGAAAGCGUUCCUGGAAAUCUCAGCCCAAAAAAGGACGUUUAGUAUUCUAAAAGGGACUACAGAAUGAAAAACAAUAGUUUUGGCAGUUAAAGUUUGAGAUUCGACGGUGCCGUAGAUCCGUUUGGUCAUCAGGUGUUACGAGCCACACCCAUGUCUAGCUAGAAUAGUGUGCNNNNNNNNNNNNNNNNNNNNNNNNNCGUAUGAUUUGAAAUACGUGCACACAAACCGCGCGAAAGCGUUCCUGGAAAUCUCAGCCCAAAAAAGGACGUUUAGUAUUCUAAAAGGGACUACAGAAUGAAAAACAAUAGUUUUGGCAGUUAAAGUUUGAGAUUCGACGGUGCUGUAGAUCCGUUUGGUCAUCAGGUGUUACGAGCCACACCCAUGUCUAGCUAGAAUAGUGUGCUAGGCUCAGGCUAGAGAAGAAAAGGGGAACAAACUAAUGAAAGAAUGAUCAAUACGAGGGAAUUCACUCAGAACUAACAAUAAUGAUAACGUGCUCCGACUGGAGCGGUUUAGGAACUGCUGGAAGGCUCUAGGCGAAUAAAGAUGGAAUGACUUCUAAUUUUUACGUCCGUAUGAUUUGAAAUACUUGCACACAAACCACGCAAAAGCGUUCCUGGAAAUCUCGGCCUAAAAAGGACGUUUAGUAAUUCUAAAAGGGACUACAGGAUGAAAAAUAAUAGUUUGGGCAGUUAAAAUUUGAGAUUCGACGGUGCCGUAGAUCCGUUUGGUCAUCAGGUGUUACGAGCCACACCCAUGUCUAGCUAGAAUAGUGUGUUAGGCUCAGGCUAGAGAAGAAACGAGGAACAAACUGAUGAAAGAAUGAUCAUACCAAGGGAAUUCACUCAGAACUAACAAGAAUGAUAACGUGCUCCGACUGGAGCAGUUUAGAAACUGCUGGAAGGCUCUAGGGGAAUAAAGAUGGAAUGACUUCUGAUUUUUAGGUCCGUAUGAUUUGAAAUACGUGCACACAAACCCCGCGAAAGCGUUCCUGGAAAUCUCAGCCCAAAAAAGGACGUUUAGUAAUUCUAAAAGGGACUACAACAUGAAAAACAAUAGUUUUGGCAGUUAAAGUUUGAGAUUUCAUGGUGCCGUAGAUCUGUUUGGUCAUCAGGUGUUACGAGCCACACCCAUGUCUAGCUAGAAUAGUGUGUUAGGCUCAGGCUAGAAAAGAAACGGGAAACAAAGUGAUGAAAGAAUGACCAUACCGAGGGAAUUCACUCAGAACUAACAAGAAUGAUAACAUGCUCCGACUUGAGCGGUUUAGGAACUGCUGGAAGGCUCUAGGGGAAUAAAGAUGGAAUGACUUCUAAUGUUUAGGUCCGUAUGAUUUGAAAUACUUGCACAUAAACCGCACAAAAGCGUUCCUGGAAAUCUCAGCCCAAAAAAGGACGUUUAGUAAUUCUAAAAGGGACUACAGGAUGAAAAACAAUAGUUUUGGCAGUUAAAGUUUGAGAUUCGACGGUGCCGUAGAUCCGUUUGGUCAUCAGGUGUUACGAGCCACACCCAUGUCUAGCUAGAAUAGUGUGUUAGGCUCAGGCUAGAGAAGAAACUUGGAACAAACUGAUGAAAGAAUGAUCAAACCAACGGAAUUCACUCAGAACUAACAAUAAUGAUAACGUGCUCCGACUGGAGCAGUUUAGGAACUGCUGGAAGGCUCUAGGGGAAUAAAGAUGGAAUGACUUCUAAUUUUUAGGUCCGUAUGAUUUGAAAUACUUGCACGCAAACCGCGCGAAAGCGUUCCUGGAAAUAUCAGCCCAAAAAAGGACGUUUAGUAAUUCUAAAAGGGACUACAGGAUGAAAACAAUAGUUUUGGCAGUUAAAGUUUGAGAUUCAACAGUGCCGUAGAUCCGUUUGGUCAUCAGGUGUUAUGAGCCAUACCCAUGUCUAGCUAGAGUAGUGUGCUAGGCUCAGGCUAGAGAAGAAACAGGGAACAAACUGAUGAAAGAAUGAUCAUACCGAGGGAAUUCACUCAGAACUAACAAGAAUGAUAACGUGCUCCGACUGGAGCGGUUUAGGAACUGCUGGAAGGCUCUAGGGGAAUAAAGAUGGAGUGACUUCUAAAUUUUUAGGUCCGUAUGAUUUAAAAUACUUGCACACAAACCGCACGAAAGCGUUCCUUGAAAUCUCAGCCCAAAAAAGGACGUUUAGUAAGUCUAAAAGGGACUAUAGGAUGAAAAACAAUAGUUUUGGCAGUUAAAGUUUGAGAUUCGAUGGUGCCGUAGAUCUGUUUGGUCAUCAGGUGUUACGAGCCACACCCAUGUCUAGUUGGAAUAGUGUGCUAGGCUCAGACUAGAGAAGAAACAGGGAACAAACUGAUGAAAGAAUGAUCAAACCGAGGAAAUUCACUCAGAACUAACAAUAAUGAUAACAUGCUCCGACUGGAGCGGUUUAGGAACUGCUGGAAGGCUCUAGGGGAAUAAAGAUGGAAUGACUUCUAAAUUUUUAGGUCCGUAUGAUUUGAAAUAGUUGCACACAAACUGCGCGAAAGCGUUCCUGGAAAUCUCAGCCCAAAAAAGGACGUUUAGUAAUUCUAAAAGGGACUAUAGGAUGAAAAACAAUAGUUUUGGCAGUUAAAGUUUGAGAUUCGACGGUGCCGUAGAUCCGUUUGGUCAUCACGUGUUACAAGCCACACCCAUGUCUAGCUAGAGUAGUGUGCUAGGCUCAGACUAUAGAAGAAACGGGGACCAAACUGAUGAAAGAAUGAUCAAACCGAGGAAAUUCACUCAGAACUAACAAUAAUGAUAACAUGCUCCGACUGGAGCGGUUUAGGAACUACUGGAAGGCUCUAGGGGAAUAAAGAUGGAAUGACUUCUAAAUUUUUAGGUCCGUAUGAUUUUAAAUAGUUGCACACAAACUGCGCGAAAGCGUUCCUGGAAAUCUCAGCCCAAAAAAGGACGUUUAGUAAUUCUAAAAGGGACUACAGGAUGAAAAACAAUAGUUUGGGCAGUUAAAAUUUGAGAUUCGACGGUGCCGUAGAUCCGUUUGGUCAUCAGGUGUUACGAGCCACACCCAUGUCUAGCUAGAGUAGUGUGCUAGGCUCAGGCUAGAGAAGAAACAGGGAACAAACUGAUGAAAGAAUGAUCAUACCGAGGGAAUUCACUCAGAACUAACAAGAAUGAUAACGUGCUCUGACUGGAGCGGUUUAAGAACUGUUGGAAGGCUCUAGGGGAAUAAAGAUGGAAUCACUUCAAAUUUUUACGUCCGUGUGAUUUGAAAUACUUGCACACAAACCGCACGAAAGCGUUCCUGGAAAUCUCAGCCCAAAAAAGGACGUUUAGUAAGUCUAAAAGGGACUACACGAUGAAAAACAAUAGUUUUGGCAGUUAAAGUUUGAGAUUCGACAGUGCCGUAGAUCCGUUUGGUCAUCAGGUGUAACGAGCCACACCCAUGUCUAGAUAGAGUAGUGUGCUAGGCUCAAACUAGAGAAGAAACGGGGAACAAACUGAUGAAAGAAUGAUCAUACCGAGGGAAUUCACUCAGAAAUAACAAGAAUGAUAACGUGCUCUGACUGGAGCGGUUUAGGAACUGCUGGAAGGCUCUAGGGGAAUAAAGAAGGAAUGACUUCUAAUUUUUAGGUCCGUAUGAUUUGAAAUACGUGCACACAAACCCCGAGAAAGCGUUCCUGGAAAUCUCGACCCAAAAAAGGACGUUUAGUAAUUCUAAAAGGGACUACGGGAUGAAAAACAAUAGUUUUGGCAGUUAAAGUUUGAGAUUCGAUAAUGCCGUAGAUCCAUUUGGUCAUCAGGUGUAACGAGCCACACCCAUGUCUAGCUAGAGUAGUGUGCUAGGCUCAGACUAGAGAAGAAACAGGGAACAAACUGAUGAAAGAAUGAUCAUAUCGAGGGAAUUCACUCAGAACUAACAAGAAUGAUAACAUGCUCCGACUUGAGCGGUUUAGGAACUGCUGGAAGGCUCUAGGGGAAUAAAGAUGGAAUGACUUCUAAUUUUUAGGUCCGUAUGAUUUGAAAUACUUACACACAAACCACGCGAAAGCGUUCCUGGAAAUCUCAGCCCAAAAAAGGACGUUUAGUAAUUCUAAAAGGGACUACAUGAUGAAAAACAAUAGUUUUCGCAGUUAAAGUUUGAGAUUCGACGGUGCCGUAGAUCCGUUUGGUCAUCAAGUGUUACGAGCCACACCCAUGUCUAGCUAGAAUAGUGUGUUAGGCUCAGCCUAGAGAAGAAACGGGGAACAAACUGAUGAAAGAAUGAUCAUACCGAGGGAAUUCACUCAGAACUUACAAGAAUGAUAACGUGCUCCGACUUGAGCGGUUUAAGAACUGUUGGAAGGCUCUAGGGGAAUAAAGAUGGAAUCACUUCAAAUUUUUACGUCCGUGUGAUUUGAAAUACUUGCACACAAACCCCGAGAAAGCGUUCCUGGAAAUCUCGGCCGAAAAAAGGAUGUUUAAUAAUUCUAAAAGGGACUACAGGAUGAAAAACAAUAGCUUUGGCAGUUAAAGUUUGUGAUUCGAUGGUGCCGUAGAUCUGUUUGGUCAUCAGGUGUUAUGAGCCACACCCAUGUCUAGCUAGAAUAGUGUGUUAGGCUCAGGCUAGAGCAGAAACUAGGAACAAACUUAUGAAAGAAUGAUCAUACCGAGGGAAUUCACUCAGAACUAACAAGAAUGAUAACGUGCUCCGACUGGAGCGGUUUAGGAACUGCUGGAAGGCUCUAGGGGAAUAAAGAUGGAAUGACUUCUAAUUUUUAGGUCCGUAUGAUUUGAAAUACAUGCACACAAACCCCAAGAAAGCGUUCCUAGAAAUCUCAGCCCAAAAAGGACGUUUAGUAAUUCUAAAAGGGACUACAGGAUGAAAAACAAUAGGUUUGGCAGUUAAAGUUUGAGAUUCGAUAAUGCCGUAGAUCCGUUUGGUCAUCAGGUGUAACGAGCCACACCCAUGUCUAGCUACAUUAGUGUGCUAGGCUCAGACUAGAGAAGAAACGGGGAACAAACUGAUGAAAGAAUGAUCAUACCGAGGGAAUUCACUCAGAACUAACAAGAACGAUAACAUGCUCCGACUGCAGCGGUUUAGGAACUGCUGGAAGGCUCUAGGGGAAUAAAGAAGGAAUGACUUCUAAUUUUUAGGUCCGUAUGAUUUGAAAUACUUGCACACAAACCGCGCGAAAGCAUUCCUGGAAAUCUCAGCCCAAAAAAGGACGUUUAGUAAUUCUAAAAGGGACUACAGGAUGAAAAACAAUAAUUUUGGCAGUUAAAGUUUGAGAUUCGACGGUGCCGUAGAUCCGUUUGGUCAUCAGGUGUUACGGGCCAUACCCAUGUCUAGCUAGAAUAGUGUGUUAGGCUCAGGUUAGAGAAGAAACGGGGAACAAAGUGAUGAAAGAAUGAUCAUACCGAGGGAAUUCACUCAGAACUAACAAGAAUGAUAACGUGCUCCGACUGGAGCGGUUUAGGAAUUGCUGGAAGGCUCUAGGGGAAUAAAGAUGGAAUGACUUCUAUAUUUUACGUCCGUAUGAUUUGAAAUACUUGCACACAAACCACGCAAAAGCACUCCUGGAAAUAUCAGCCUAAAAAGGAUGUUUAGUAAUUCUAAAAGGGACUACAGGAUGAAAAAUAAUAGUUUUGGCAGUUAAAAUUUGAGAUUCAACGGUGCCGUAAAUCCGUUUGGUCAUCAGGUGUUACGAGCCACACCCAUGUCUAGCUAGAAUAGUGUGUUAGGCUCAGGUUAGAGAAGAAACGGGGAACAAACUGAUGAAAGAAUGAUCAUACAAGGGGAAUUCACUCAGAACUAUCAAGAAUGAUAACGUGCUCCGACUGGAGCAGUUUAGGAACUGCCGGAAGGCUCUAGGGGAAUAAAGAUGGAAUGACUUCUAAUUUUUAUGUCCGUAUGAUUUGAAAUACUUGCACACAAACCACGCAAAAGCGUUCCUGGAAAUCUCAGCCUAAAAAGGACGUUUAGUAAUUCUAAAAGGGACUACAGGAUGAAAAACAAUAGUUUGGGCAGUUAAAAUUCGAGAUUCGACGGUGCCGUAGAUCCGUUUGGUCAUCAGGUGUUACGAGCCACACCCAUGUCUAGCUAGAAUAGUGUGUUAGGCUCAGGCUAGAGAAGAAACGGGGAACAAACUGAUGAAAGAAUGAUCAUAUCGAGGGAAUUCACUCAGAACUAACAAGAAUGAUAACGUGCUCCGACUGGAGCGGUUUAGUAACUGCUGGAAGGCUCUAGGGGAAUAAAGAUGGAAUGACUUCUAAUUAUUAGGUCCGUAAGAUUUGAAUUACAUGCACACAAACCCCGAGAAAGCGUUCCUGGAAAUCUCGGUCGAAAAAAGGAUGUUUAGUAAUUCUAAAAGGGACUACAGGAUGAAAAACAAUAGUUUUGGCAGUUAAAGUUUGUGAUUCGAUGGUGCCGUAGAUCUGUUUGGUCAUCAGGUGUUACGAGCCACACCCAUGUCUAGCUAGAAUAGUGUGUUAGGCUCAGGCUAGAGCAGAAACGGGGAACAAACUUAUGAAAGAAUGAUCAUGCCGAGGGAAUUCACUCAGAACUAACAAGAAUGAUAACGUGCUCCGACUGGAGCGGUUUAGGAACUGCUGGAAGGCUCUAGGGGAAUAAAGAUGGAAUGACAUCAAAUUUUUAGGUCCGUAUGAUUUGAAAUACUUGCACACAAACCGCAAGAAAGCGUUCUUGGAAAUCUCCGCCCAAAAAAGGACGUUUAGUAAUUCUAAAAGGGUCUACAGGAUGAAAAACAAUAGUUCUGGCAGUUAAAGUUUGAGAUUCGAUAAUGUCGUAGAUCCGUUUGGUCAUCAGGCGUAACGAGCCACACCCAUUUCUAGCUAGAGUAGUGUGCUAGGCUCAGACUAGAGAAGAAACGGGGAACAACCUGAUGAAAGAAUGAUCAUACCGAGGGAAUUCACUCAGAACUAACAAGAAUGAUAACGUGCUCCGACUGGAGCGGUUUAGGAACUGCUGGAAGGCUCUACGGGAAUAAAGAAGGAAUGACUUCUAAUUUUUAGGUCCGUAUGAUUUGAAAUACGUGCACACAAACCCCGAGAAAGCGUUCCUGGAAAUCUCGGCCCAAAAAAGGACGUUUAGUAUUCUAAAAGCGACUACAGAAUGAAAAACAAUAGUUUUGGUAGUUAAAGUUUGAGAUUUAACGGUGCCGUAGAUCUGUUUGGUCAUCAGGUGUUACGAGCCACACCCAUGUCUAGCUAGAAUAGUGUGUUAGGCUCAGGCUAGAUAAGAAACAGGGAACAAAGUGAUGAAAGAAUGAUCAUACCAAGGGAAUUCACUCAGAACUAACAAGAACGAUAACAUGCUCCGACUGGAGUGGUUUAGGAACUGCUGGAAGGCUCUAGGGGAAUAAAGAUGGAAUGACUUCUAAUUUUUAGGUCUGUAUGAUUUGAAAUACUUGCACACAAACCGCACGAAAGCGUUCCUGGAAAUCUCAUCCCAAAAAAGGACGUUUAGUAAUUCUAAAAGGGACUACAGGAUGAAAAACAAUAGUUUUGGCAGUUAAAGUUUGAGAUUCGAUAAUGCUGUAGAUCCGUUUGGUCAUCAGGUGUAACGAGCCACACCCAUGUCUAGCUAGAGUAGUGUGCUAGGCUCAGACUAGAGAAGAAACGGGGAACAAACUGAUGAAAGAAUGAUCAUACCGAGGGAAUUCACUCAGAACUAACAAUAAUGAUAACGUGCUCCGACUGGAGCGGUUUAGGAACUGCUGGAAGGCUCUAGGGGAAUAAAGAUGGAAUGAGUUCUAAUUUUUAGGUCUGUAUGAUUUGAAAUACUUGCACACAAACCGCGUGAAAGCAUUCCUGGAAAUUUCAGCCCAAAAAAGGACGUUUAGUAAUUUUAAAAGGGACUACACGAUGAAAAACAAUAGUUUUGGCAGUUAAAGUUUGAGAUUCGACGGUGCCGUAGAUCCGUUUGGUCAUCAGGUGUUACGAGCCACACCCAUGUCUAGCUAGAAUAGUAUGUUAGGCUCGGGUAAGAGAAGAAACGGGGAACAAACUGAUGAAAGAAUGAUCAUACCAAGGGAAUUCACUCAGAACUAACAAGAAUGAUAACGUGCUCCGACUGGAGCGGUUUAGGAACUGCUGGAAGGCUCUAGGGGAAUAAAGAUGGAAUGACUUCUAAUUUUUACGUUCGUAUGAUUUGAAAUACUUGCACACAAACCACGCAAAAGCGUUCCUGGAAAUCUCAUCCUAAAAAAGGACGUUUAGUAAUUCUAAAAGGGACUACAGGAUGAAAAAUAAUAGUUUGGGCAGUUAAAAUUUGAGAUUCGACGGUGCCGUAGAUCCGUUUGGUCAUCAGGUGUUACGAGCCACACCCAUGUCUAGCUAGAAUAGUGUGUUAGGCUCAGGCUAGAGAAGAAACGGGGAACAAACUGAUGAAAGAAUGAUCAUAUCGAGGGAAUUCACUCAGAACUAACAAGAAUGAUAACGUGCUCCGACUGGAGCAGUUUAGAAACUGCUGGAAGGCUCUAGGGGAAUAAAGAUGGAAUGACUUCUAAUUUUUAGGUCUGUAUGAUUUGAAAUACGUGCACACGAACCCCGAGAAAGCGUUCCUGGAAAUCUCGGCCCAAAAAAGGACGUUUAGUAAUUCUAAAAGGGACUACAGGAUGAAAAACAAUAGUUUUGGCAGUUAAAGUUUGAGAUUCGACGGUGCCGUAGAUCCGUUUGUUCAUCAGGUGUUACGAGCCACACCCAUGUCUAGCUAGAAUAGUGUGUUAGGCUCAGGCUAGAGAAGAAACGGGGAACAAACUGAUGAAAGAAUGAUCAUACCGAGGGAAUUCACUCAGAACUAACAAGAAUGAUAACGUGCUCCGACUGGAGCGGUUUAGGAACUGCUAGAAGGCUCUAGGGGAAUAAAGAAGGAAUGACUUCUAAUUUUUAGGUCCGUAUGAUUUGAAAUACGUGCACACAAACCCCGAGAAAGCGUUCCUGGAAAUCUUGGCCCAAAAAAGGACGUUUAGUAUUCUAAAAGCGACUACAGAAUGAAAAACAAUAGUUUUGCUAGUUAAAGUUUGAGAUUUGAUGGUGCCGUAGAUCUGUUUGGUCAUCAGGUUUUACGAGCCACACCCAUGUCUAGCUAGAAUAGUGUGUUAGGCUCAGGCUAGAAAAGAAACAGGGAAUAAAGUGAUGAAAGAAUGAUCAUACCAAGGGAAUUCACUCAGAACUAACAAGAACGAUAACAUGCUCCGACUGGAGUGGUUUAGAACUGCUGGAAGGCUAAAGGGGAAUAAAGAUGGAAUGACUUCUAAUUUUUAGGUCCGUAUGAUUUGAAAUACUUGCACACAAACCGCACGAAAGUGUUCCUGGAAAUCUCAGCCCAAAAAAGGACGUUUAGUAAUUCUAAAAGGGACUACAGGAUGAAAAACAAUAGUUUUGGCAGUUAAAGUUUGAGAUUCGAUAAUGACGUAGAUCCGUUUGGUCAUCAGGUGUAACGAGCCACACCCAUGUCUAGCUAGAGUAGUGUGCUAGGCUCAGACUAGAGAAGAAACGGGGAACAAACUGAUGAAAGAAUGAUCAUACCGAGGGAAUUCACUCAGAACUAACAAUAAUGAUAACGUGCUCCGACUAGAGCGGUUUAGGAACUGCUGGAAGGCUCUAGGGGAAUAAAGAUGGAAUGACUUCUAAUUUUUAGGUCCCUAUGAUUUGAAAUACUUGCACACAAACCGCGUGAAAGCAUUCCUGGAAAUUUCAGCCCAAAAAAGGACGUUUAGUAAUUUUAAAAGGGACUACACGAUGAAAAAGAAUAGUUUUGGCAGUUAAAGUUUGAGAUUCGACGGUGCCGUAGAUCCGUUUGGUCAUCAGGUGUUACGAGACACACCCAUGUCUAGCUAGAAUAGUAUGUUAGGCUCGGGUUAGAGAAGAAACGGGGAACAAACUGAUGAAAGAAUGAUCAUACCAAGGGAAUUCACUCAGAACUAACAAGAAUGAUAACGUGCUCCGACUGGAGCGGUUUAGGAACUGCUGGAAGGCUCUAGGGGAAUAAAGAUGGAAUGACUUCUAAUUUUUACGUUCGUAUGAUUUGAAAUACUUGCAAACAAACCACGCAAAAGCGUUCCUGGAAAUUUCAUCCUAAAAAAGGACGUUUAGUAAUUCUAAAAGGGACUACAGGAUGAAAAAUAAUAGUUUGGGCAGUUAAAAUUUGAGAUUCGAUGGUGCCGUAGAUCCGUUUGGUCAUCAGGUGUUACGAGCCACACCCAUGUCUAGCUAGAAUAGUGUGUUAGGCUCAGGCUAGAGAAGAAACGGGGAACAAACUGAUGAAAGAAUGAUCAUAUCGAGGGAAUUCACUCAGAACUAACAAGAAUGAUAACGUGCUCCGACUGGAGCAGUUUAGAAACUGCUGGAAGGCUCUAGGGGAAUAAAGAUGGAAUGACUUCUAAUUUUUAGGUCUGUAUGAUUUGAAAUACGUGCACACAAACCCCGAGAAAGCGUUCCUGGAAAUCUCGUCCGGAAAAAGGAUGUUUAAUAAUUCUAAAAGGGACUACAGGAUGAAAAACAAUAGUUUUGGCAGUUAAAGUUUGUGAUUCGAUGGUGCCGUAGAUCUGUUUGGUCAUCAGGUGUUACGGGCCACACCCAUGUCUAGCUAGAAUAGUGUGUUAGGCUCAGGCUAGAGCAGAAACGGGGAGCAAACUUAUGAAAGAAUGAUCAUAGCGAGGGAAUUUACUCAGAACUAACAAGAAUGAUAACGUGCUCCGACUGGAGCGGUUUAGGAACUGCUGGAAGGCUCUAGGGGAAUAAAGAUGGAAUGACUUCAAAUUUUCAGGUAUGUAUGAUCUGAAAUACUUGCACACAAACCGCGAGAAAGCGUUCCUGGAAAUCUCAACCCAAAAAAGGAUGUUUAGUAAUUCUAAAAGGGACUACAGGAUUAAAAACAAUAGUUUUGGCAGUUAAAGUUUGAGAUUCGAUAAUGUCGUAGAUCCGUUUGGUCAUCAGGUGUAACGAGCCACACCCAUGUCUAGCUAGAGUAGUGUGCUAGGCUCAUACUAGAGAAGAAACGGGGAACAAACUGAUGAAAGAAUGAUCAUACCGAGGGAAUUCACUCAGAACUAACAAGAAUGAUAACGUGCUCCGACUGGAGCGGUUUAGGAACUGCUGGAAGGCUCUAGGGGAAUAAAGAUGGAAUGACUUCUUAUUUUUAGGUCCGUAUGAUUUGAAAUACAUGCACACAAACCCCAAGAAAGCGUUCCGGGAAAUCUCGGCCCAAAGAAUGAUGUUUAGUAAUUCUAAAAGGGACUAUAGAAUGAAAAACAAUAGUUUUGGCAGUUAAAGUUUGAGAUUUGACGGUGUCGUAGAUCUGUUUGGUCAUCAGGUGUUACGAGCCACACCCAUUUCUAGCUAGAAUAGUGUGUUAGGCUCAGGCUAGAAAAGAAACGGGGAACAAAGUGAUGAAAGAAUGAUCAUACCGAGGGAAUUCACUCAGAACUAACAAGAAUGAUAACAUGCUCCGACUAGAGCGGUUUAGGAACUGCUGGAAGGCUCUAGGGGAAUAAAUAUGGAAUGACUUCUAAUUUUCAGGUCCGUAUGAUUUGAAAUACUUGCACACAAACCGCGCGAAAGCGUUCCUGGAAAUCUCAUCCCAAAGAAGGUCGUUUAGUAAUUCUAAAAGGGACUACAGGAUGAAAAACAAUAGUUUUGGCAAUUUAAGGUUUGAGAUUCGACGGUGCCGUAGAUCCGUUUGGUCAUCAGGUGUUACGAGCCACACCCAUGUCUAGCUAGAAUAGUGUGCUAGGCUCAGGCUAGAGAAGAAACAGGGAACAAACUGAUGAAAGAAUGAUCAAACCGAGGGAAUUCACUCAGAACUAACAAUAAUGAUAACGUUCUCCGUCUGGAGCGGUUUAGGAACUGCUGGAAGGCUCUAGGGGAAUAAAGAUGGAAUGACUUCUAAUUUUUAGGUCCGUAUGAUUUGAAAUACUUGCACACAAACCGCGCCAAAUCGUUCCUGGAAAUCUCAGCCCAAAAAAGGACGUUUAGUAAUUCUAAAAGGGACUACAGGAUGAAAAACAAUAGUUUUGGCAGUUAAAGUUUGAGAUUCGAUGGUGCCGUAGACCCGUUUGGUCAUCAGGUGUUACGAGCCACACCCAUGUCUAGCUAGAGUAGUGUGCUAGGUUCAGACUAGAGAAGAAACAGGGAACAAAGUGAUGAAAGAAUGAUCAUACCGAGGGAAUUCACUCAGAACUAACAAGAAUGAUAACGUGCUCCGACUGGAGCGGUUUAGGAACUGCUGGAAGGCUCUAGGGGAAUAAAGAUGGAAUGACUUCUAAUUUUUACGUCCGUAUGAUUUGAAAUACUUGCACACAAACCACGCAAAAGCGUUCCUGGAAAUCUCAGCCUAAAAAAGGACGUUUAGUAAUUCAAAAAGGGACUACAAAAUGAAAAACAAUAGUUUUGGCAGUUAAAGUUUGAGAUUCGAUGGUGCCGUAGAUCCGUUUGGUCAUCAGGUGUUACGAGCCACACCCAUGUCUAGCUAGGAUAGUGUGUUAGGCUCAGGCUAGAGAAGAAACGGGGAACAAACUGAUGAAAGAAUGAUCAUACCGAGGGAAUUCACUCAGAACUAACAAGGAUGAUAACAUGCUCCGACUAGAGCGGUUUAGGAACUGCUGGAAGGCUCUAGGGGAAUAAAGAUGGAAUGACUUCUAAUUUUUAGGUCCGUAUGAUUUGAAAUACUUGCACACAAACCGCAAGAAAGCGUUCCUGGAAAUCUCAGCCCAAAAAAGGACGUUUAGUAAUUCUAAAAGGGACUACAGGAUGAAAAACAAUAGUUCUGGCAGUUAAAGUUUGAGAUUCGAUAAUGCCGUAGAUCUGUUUGGUCAUCAGGUGUAACGAGCCACACCCAUGUCUAGCUAGAGUAGUGUGCUAGGCUCAGACUAGAGAAGAAACGGGGAACAAACUGAUGAAAGAAUGAUUAUACCGAGGGAAUUCACUCAGAACUAACGAGAAUGAUAACGUGCUCCGACUGGAGCGGUUUAGGAACUGCUGGAAGGCUCUAGGGGAAUAAAGAUGGAAUGACUUCAAAUUUUUAGGUCUGUAUGAUUUGAAAUACUUGCACACAAACCGCAAGAAAGCGUUCCUUGAAAUCUCAGCCCAAAAAAGGACGUUUAGUAAUUCUAAAAGGGACUACAGGAUGAAAAACAAUAGUUCUGGCAGUUAAAGUUUGAGAUUCGAUAAUGUCGUAGAUCCGUUUGGUCAUCAGGUGUAACGAGCCACACCCAUGUCUAGCUAGAGUAGUGUGCUAGGCUCAGAAUAGAGAAGAAACGGGGAACAAACUGAUGAAAGAAUGAUCAUACCGAGGGAAUUCACUCAGAACUAACAAGAAUGAUAACGUGCUCCGACUGGAGCGGUUUAGGAACUGCUGGAAGGCUCUAGGGGAAUAAAGAAGGAAUGACUUCUAAUUUUUAGGUCCGUAUGAUUUGAAAUACGUGCACACAAACCGCGCGAAAGCGUUCCUGGAAAUCUCAGCCAAAAAAAGGACGUUUAGUAUUCUAAAAGGGACUACAGAAUGAAAAACAAUAGUUUUGGCAGUUAAAGUUUGAGAUUCGACGGUGCUGUAGAUCCGUUUGGUCAUCAGGUGUUACGAGCCACACCCAUGUCUAGCUAGAAUAGUGUGCUAGGCUCAGGCUAGAGAAGAAAAGGGGAACAAACUAAUGAAAGAAUGAUCAAUCCGAGGGAAUUCACUCAGAACUAACAAUAAUGAUAACGUGCUCCGACUGGAGCGGUUUAGGAACUGCUGGAAGGCUCUAGGCGAAUAAAGAUGGAAUGACUUCUAAUUUUUACGUCCGUAUGAUUUGAAAUACUUGCACACAAACCACGCAAAAGCGUUCCUGGAAGUCUCGGCCUAAAAAGGACGUUUAGUAAUUCUAAAAGGGACUACAGGAUGAAAAAUAAUAGUUUGGGCAGUUAAAAUUUGAGAUUCGACGGUGCCGUAGAUCCAUUUGGUCAUCAAGUGUUACGAGCCACACCCAUGUCUAGCUAGAAUAGUGUGUUAGGCUCAGGCUAGAGAAGAAACGGGGAACAAACUGAUGAAAGAAUGAUCAUACCAAGGGAAUUCACUCAGAACUAACAAGAAUGAUAACGUGCUCCGACUGGAGCAGUUUAGAAACUGCUGGAAGGCUCUUGGGGAAUAAAGAUGGAAUGACUUCAAAUUUUUAGGUCCGUAUGAUUUGAAAUACUUGCACACAAACCACGCGAAAGCGUUCCUGGAAAUCUCAGCCCAAAAAAGGACGUUUAGUAAUUCUAAAAGGGACUACAUGAUGAAAAACAAUAGUUUUGGCAGUUAAAGUUUGAGAAUCGUCGGUGCCGUAGAUCCGUUUGGUCAUCAGCUGUAACGAGCCACACCCAUGUCUAGCUAGAGUAGUGUGCUAGGCUCAGACUAGAGAAGAAACAGGGAACAAAGUGAUGAAAGAAUGAUCAUACCGAGGGAAUUCACUUAGAACUAACAAGAAUGAUAACAUGCUCCGACUUGAGCGAUUUAGGAACUUCUGGAAGGCUCUAGGGGAAUAAAGAUGGAAUGACUCAAAUUUUUAGGCCCGUAUGAUUUGAAAUACAUGCACACAAACCGCGAGAAAGUGUUCCUGGAAAUCUUAGCCCAAAAAAGGACGUUUAGUAAUUCUAAAAGGGACUACAGGAUGAAAAACAAUAGUUUUGGUAGUUAAAGUUUCAGAUUCGAUAAUGCCCUAGAUCCGUUUGGUCAUCAGGUGUAACGAGCCACACCAAUGUCUAGCUAGAGUAGUGUGCUAGGCUCAGACUAGAUAAGAAACGGGGAAGAAACUGAUGAAAGAAUGAUCAGACCGAGGGAAUUCACUCAGAACUAACAAUAAUGAUAACGUGCUCCGAGUGGAGCGGUUUAGGAACUGCUGGAAGGCUCUAGGGGAAUAAAGAUGGAAUGACUUCUAAUUUUUAGGUCCGUAUGAUUUGAAAUACGUGCACACAAACCCCGAGAAACCGUUCCUUGAAAUCUCGGCCCAAAAAAGGACGUUUAGUAAUUCUAAAAGGGACUACAAAAUGAAAAACAAUAGUUUUGGCAGUUAAAGUUUGAGAUUCGACGGUGUCGUAGACCCGUUUGGUCUUCAGGUGUUACGAGCCACACCCAUGUCUAGCCAGAGUAGUGUGCUAGGUUCAGACUAGAGAAGAAACGGGGAACAAAGUGAUGAAAGAAUGAUCAUACCGAGGGAAUUCACUCAGAACUAACAAGAAUGAUAACGUGCUCCGACUGGAGCGGGUUAGGAACUCCUGGAAGGCUCUAGGGGAAUAAAGAUGGAAUGACUUCUAAUUUUUACGUCCGUAUGAUUUGAAAUACUUGCACACAAACCACGCAAAAGCGUUCCUGGAAAUCUCAGCCUAAAAAAGGACGUUUAGUAAUUCUAAAAGGGACUACAGGAUGAAAAAUAAUAGUUUGGUCAUCAGGUGUUACGAGCCACACCCAUGUCUAGCUAGAAUAGUGUGCUAGGCUCAGGCUAGAGAAGAAACGGGGAAUAAACUGAUGAAAGAAUGAUCAAACCGAGGGAAUUCACUCAGAACUAACAAUAAUGAUAACGUUCUCCGUCUGGAGCGGUUUAGGAACUGCUGGAAGGCUCUAGGGGAAUAAAGAUGGAAUGACUUCUAAUUUUUAGGUCCGUAUGAUACGAAAUACUUGCACACAAACCGCGCGAAAUCGUUCCUGGAAAUCUCAGCCCAAAAAAGGACGUUUAGUAAUUCUAAAAGGGACUACAGCAUGAAAAACAAUAGUUCUGGCAGUUAAAGUUUGAGAUUCGAUAAUGCCGUAGAUCCGUUUGGUCAUCAGGUGUAACGAGCCACACCCAUGUCUAGCUAGAGUAGUAUGCUAGGCUCAGACUAGAGAAGAAACGGGGAACAAACUGAUGAAAGAAUGAUUAUACCGAGGGAAUUCACUCAGAACUAACAAGAAUGAUAACGUGCUCCGGCUGGAGCGGUUUAGGAACUGCUAGAAGGCUCUAGGGGAAUAAAGAUGGAAUGACUUCAAAUUUUUAGGUCUGUAUGAUUUGAAAUACUUGCACACAAACCGCAAGAAAGCGUUCCUGGAAAUCUCAGCCCAAAAAAGGACGUUUAGUAAUUCUAAAAGGGACUAUAGGAUGAAAAACAAUAGUUCUGGUAGUUAAAGUUUGAGAUUCGAUAAUGUCAUAGAUCCGUUCGGUCAUCAGGUGUAACGAGCCACACCCAUGUCUAGCUAGAGUAGUGUGCUAGGCUCAGACUAGAGAAGAAACGGGGAACAAACUGAUGAAAGAAUGAUCAUACCGAGGGAAUUCACUCAGAACUAACAAGAAUGAUAACGUGCUCCGACUGGAGCGGUUUAGGAACUGCUGGAAGGCUCUAGGGGAAGAAAGAAGGAAUGACUUCUAAUUUUUAGGUCCGUAUGAUUUGAAAUACGUGCACACAAACCGCGCGAAAGCGUUCCUGGAAAUCUCAGCCCAAAAAAGGACGUUUAGUAUUCUAAAAGGGACUACAGAAUGAAAAACAAUAGUUUUGGCAGUUAAAGUUUGAGAUUCGACGGUGCCGUAGAUCCGUUUGGUCAUCAGGUGUUACGAGCCACACCCAUGUCUAGCUAGAAUAGUGUGCUAGGCUCAGGCUAGAGAAGAAAAGGGGAACAAACUGAUGAAAGAAUGAUCAAACCGAGGGAAUUCACUCAGAACUAACAAUAAUGAUAACGUGCUCCGACUGGAGCGGUUUAGGAACUGCUGGAAGGCUCUUGGCGAAUAAAGAUGGAAUGACUUCUAAUUUUUACGUCCGUAUGAUUUGAAAUACUUCCACACAAACCAGGCAAAGGCGUUCCUGGAAAUCUCGGCCUAAAAAGGACGUUUAGUAAUUCUAAAAGGGACUACAGGAUGAAAAAUAAUAGUUUGGGCAGUUAAAAUUUUAGAUUCGACGGUGCCGUAGAUCCGUUUGGUCAUCAGGUGUUACGAGCCACACCCAUGUCUAGCUAGAAUAGUGUGUUAGGCUCAGGCUAGAGAAGAAACGGGGAACAAACUGAUGAAAGAAUGAUCAUACCAAGGGAAUUCACUCAGAACUAACAAGAAUGAUAACGUGCUCCGACUGGAGCAGUUUAGAAACUACUGGAAGGCUCUAGGGGAAUAAAGAUGGAAUGACUUCAAAUUUUUAGGUCCGUAUGAUUUGAAAUACUUGCACACAAACCGCGCGAAAGCGUUCCUGGAAAUCUCAGCCCAAAAAAGGACGUUUAGUAAUUCUAAAAGGGACUACAUGAUGAAAAACAAUAGUUUUGGCAGUUAAAGUUUGAGAUUCGUCGGUGCCGUAGAUCCGUUUGGUCAUCAGCUGUAACGAGCCACACCCAUUUCUAGCUAGAGUAGUGUGCUAGGCUCAGACUAAAGAAGAAAUGGGGAACAAAGUGAUGAAAGAAUGCUCAUACCGAGGGAAUUCACUCAGAACUAACAAGAAUGAUAACAUGCUCCGACUUGAGCGAUUUAGGAACUUCUGGAAGGCUCUAGGGGAAUAAAGAUGGAAUGACUCAAAUUUUUAGGUCCGUAUGAUUUGAAAUACUUGCACACAAACCGCGAGAAAGCGUUCCUGGAAAUCUCAGCCCAAAAAAGGACGUUUAGUAAUUCUAAAAGGGACUACAUGAUGAAAAACAAUAGUUUUGGCAGUUAAAGUUUGAGAUUUGAUAAUGCCGUAGAUCCGUUUGGUCAUCAGGUGUAACGAGCCACACCCAUGUCUAGCUAGAGUAGUGUGCUAGGCUAAGACUAGAUAAGAAAAGGGGAAGAAACUUAUGAAAGAAUGAUCAGACCGAGGGAAUUCACUCAGAACUAACAAUAAUGAUAACGUGCUCCGACUGGAGCGGUUUAGGAACUGCUGGAAGGCUCUAGGGGAAUAAAGAUGGAAUGACUUCUAAUUUUUAGGUCCGUAUGAUUUGAAAUACGUGCACACAAACCCCGAGAAACCGUUCCUGGAAAUCUCGGCCCAAAAAAGGAUGUUUAGUAAUUCUAAAAGGGACUACAAAAUGAAAAACAAUAGUUUUGGCAGUUAAAGUUUGAGAUUUGAUGGUGCCGUAGAUCUGUUUGGUCAUCAGGUGUUACGAGCCACACCCAUGUCUAGCUAGAAUAGUGUGUUAGGCUCAGGCUAGAAAAGAAACGGGAAACAAAGUGAUGAAAGAAUGAUCAUACCGAGGGAAUUCACUCAGAACUAACAAGAAUGAUAACAUGCUCUGACUGGAGCGGUUUAGGAACUGCUGGAAGGCUCUAGGGGAAUAAAGAUGGAAUGACUUCUAAUGUUUAGGUCCGUAUGAUUUGAAAUACUUGCACAUAAACCGCGCAAAAGCGUUCCUGGAAAUCUCAGCCCAAAAAAGGACGUUUAGUAAUUCUAAAAGGGACUACAGGAUGAAAAACAAUAGUUUUGGCAGUUAAAGUUUGAGAUUCGACGGUGCCGUAGAUCCGUUUGUUCAUCAGGUGUUACGAGCCACACCCAUGUCUAGCUAGAAUAGUGUGUUAGGCUCAGGCUAGAGAAGAAACGGGGAACAAACUGAUGAAAGAAUGAUCAAACCGAGGGAAUUCACUCAGAACUAACAAUAAUGAUAACGUGCUCCGACUAGAGCGGUUUAGGAACUGCUGGAAGGCUCUAGGGGAAUAAAGAUGGAAUGACUUCUAAUUUUUAGGUCUGUAUGAUUUGAAAUACUUGCACGCAAACCGCGCGAAAGCGUUCCCGGAAAUAUCAGCCUAAAGAAGGACGUUUAGUAAUUCUAAAAGGGACUACAGGAUGAAAAACAAUAGUUUUGGCAGUUAAAGUUUGAGAUUCAACGGUGCCGUAGAUCCGUUUGGUCAUCAGGUGUUACGAGCCACACCCAUGUCUAGCUAGAGUAGUGUGCUAGGCUCAGGCUAGAGAAGAAACAGGGAACAAACUGAUGAAAGAAUGAUCAUACCGAGGGAAUUCACUCAGAACUGAUGAAAGAAUGAUCAAACCAAGGAAAUUCACUCAGAACUAACAAUAAUGAUAACAUGCUCCGACUGGAGCGGUUUAGGAACUGCUGGAAGGCUCUAGGGGAAUAAAGAUGGAAUGACUUCUAAUUUUUAGGUCCGUAUGAUUUGAAAUACGUGCACACAAACCCCGAGAAACCGUUCCUGGAAAUCUCGGCCCAAAAAAGGACGUUUAGUAAUUCUAAAAGGGACAACAAAAUGAAAAACAAUAGUUUUGGCAGUUAAAGUUUGAGAUUCGACGGUGCCGUAGACCCGUUUGGUCAUCAGGUGUUACGAGCCACACCCAUGUCUAGCUAGAGUAGUGUGCUAGGUUCAGACUAGAGAAGAAACGGGGAACAAAGUGAUGAAAGAAUGAUCAUACCGAGGGAAUUCACUCAGAACUAACAAGAAUGAUAACGUGCUCCGACUGGAGCGGGUUAGGAAUUGCUGGAAGGCUCUAGGGGAAUAAAGAUAGAAUGACUUCUAAUUUUUACGUCCGUAUGAUUUGAAAUACUUGCACACAAACCACGCAAAAGCGUUCCUAGAAAUCUCAGCCUAAAAAAGGACGUUUAGUAAUUCUAAAAGGGACUACAGGAUGAAAAAUAAUAGUUUGGCCAGUUAAAAUUUAAGAUUCGACGGUGCCGUAGAUCCGCUUGGUCAUCAGGUGUUACGAGCCACACCCAUGUCUAGCUAGAAUAGUGUGUUAGGCUCAGGCUAGAGAAGAAACGGGGAACAAACUGAUGAAAGAAUGAUCAUACCGAGGGAAUUCACUCAGAACUAACAAGAAUGAUAACAUGCUCCGACUGGAGCGGUUUAGGAACUGCUGGAAGGCUCUAGGGGAAUAAAGAUGGAAUGACUUCUAAUUUUUAGGUCCGUAUGAUUUGAAAUACUUGCACACAAACCGCAAGAAAGCGUUCCUGGAAAUCUCAGCACAAAAAAGGACGUUUAGUAAUUCUAAAAGGGACUACAGCAUGAAAAACAAUAGUUCUGGCAGUUAAAGUUUGAGAUUCGAUAAUGCCGUAGAUCCGUUUGGUCAUCAGGUGUAACGAGCCACACCCAUGUCUAGCUAGAGUAGUGUGCUAGGCUCAGACUAGAGAAGAAACGGGGAACAAAAUGAUGAAAGAAUGAUUAUACCGAGGGAAUUCACUCAGAACUAACAAGAAUGAUAACGUGCUCCGACUGGAGCGGUUUAGGAACUGCUGGAAGGCUCUAGGGGAAUAAAGAUGGAAUGACUUCAAAUUUUUAGGUCUGUAUGAUUUGAAAUACUUGCACACAAACCGCAAGAAAGCGUUCCUGGAAAUCUCAGCCCAAAAAUGGACGUUUAGUAAUUCUAAAAGGGACUAUAGGAUGAAAAACAAUAGUUCUGGCAGUUAAAGUUUGAGAUUCGAUAAUGUCGUAGAUCCGUUCGGUCAUCAGGUGUAACGAGCCACACCCAUGUCUAGCUAGAGUAGUGUGCUAGGCUCAGACUAGAGAAGAAACGGGGAACAAACUGAUGAAAGAAUGAUCAUACCGAGGGAAUUCACUCAGAACUAACAAGAAUGAUAACGUGCUCCGACUGGAGCGGUUUAGGAACUGCUGGAAGGCUCUAGGGGAAGAAAGAAGGAAUGACUUCUAAUUUUUAGGUCCGUAUGAUUUGAAAUACGUGCACACAAACCGCGCGAAAGCGUUCCUGGAAAUCUCAGCCCAAAAAAGGACGUUUAGUAUUCUAAAAGGGACUACAGAAUGAAAAACAAUAGUUUUGGCAGUUAAAGUUUGAGAUUCGACGGUGCCGUAGAUCCGUUUGGUCAUCAGGUGUUACGAGCCACACCCAUGUCUAGCUAGAAUAGUGUGCCAGGCUCAGGCUAGAGAAGAAAAGGGGAACAAACUGAUGAAAGAAUGAUCAAACCGAGGGAUUUCACUCAGAACUAACAAUAAUGAUAACGUGCUCCGACUGGAGCGGUUUAGGAACUGCUGGAAGGCUCUAGGCGAAUAAAGAUGGAAUGACUUCUAAUUUUUACGUCCGUAUGAUUUUAAAUACUUGCACACAAACCACGCAAAAGCGUUCCUGGAAAUCUCGGCCUAAAAAGGACGUUUAGUAAUUCUAAAAGGGACUACAGGAUGAAAAAUAAUAGUUUGGGCAGUUAAAAUUUGAGAUUCGACGGUGCCGUAGAUCCGUUUGGUCAUCAGGUGUUACGAGCCACACCCAUGUCUAGCUAGAAUAGUGUGUUAGGCUCAGGCUAGAGAAGAAACAGGGAACAAACUGAUGAAAGAAUGAUCAUACCAAGGGAAUUCACUCAGAACUAACAAGAAUGAUAACGUGCUCCGACUGGAGCAGUUUAGAAACUGCUGGAAGGCUCUAGGGGAAUAAAGAUGGGAUGACUUCAAAUUUUUAGGUCCGUAUGAUUUGAAAUACUUGCACACAAACCGCGCGAAAGCGUUCCUGGAAAUCGCAGCCCAAAAAAGGACGUUUAGUAAUUCUAAAAGGGACUACAUGAUGAAAAACAAUAGUUUUGGCAGUUAAAGUUUGAGAUUCGUCGGUGCCGUAGAUCCGUUUGGUCAUCAGCUGUAACGAGCCACACCCAUGUCUAGCUAGAGUAGUGUGCUAGGCUCAGACUAGAGAAGAAAUGGGGAAAAAAGUGAUGAAAGAAUGAUCAUACCGAGGGAAUUCACUCAGAACUAACAAGAAUGAUAACAUGCUCCGACAUGAGCGAUUUAGGAACUUCUGGAAGGCUCUAGGGGAAUAAAGAUGGAAUGACUCAAAUUUUUAGGUCCGUAUGAUUUGAAAUACUUGCACACAAACCGCGAGAAAGCGUUCCUGGAAAUCUCAGCCCAAAAAAGGACAUUUAGUAAUUCUAAAAGGGACUACAGGAUGAAAAACAAUAGUUUUGGCAGUUAAAGUUUGAGAUUUGAUAAUGCCGUAGAUCCGUUUGGUCAUCAGGUGUAACGAGCCACACCCAUGUCUAGCUAGAGUAGUGUGCUAGGCUAAGACUAGAUAAGAAACCGGGAAGAAACUAAUGAAAGAAUGAUCAGACCGAGGGAAUUCACUCAGAACUAACAAUAAUGAUAACGUGCUCCGACUGGAGCGGUUUAGGAACUGCUGGAAGGCUCUAGGGGAAUAAAGAUGAAAUGACUUCUAAUUUUUAGGUUCGUAUGAUUUGAAAUACAUGCACACAAACCCCGAGAAACCGUUCCUGGAAAUCUCGGCCCAAAAAAGGAUGUUUAGUAAUUCUAAAAGGGACUACAAAAUGAAAAACAAUAGUUUUGGUAGUUAAAGUUUGAGAUUUGAUGGUGCCAUAGAUCUGUUUGGUCAUCAGGUGUUACGAGCCACACCCAUGUCUAGCUAGAAUAGUGUGUUAGGCUCAGGCUAGAAAAGAAACGGGAAACAAAGUGAUGAAAGAAUGAUCAUACCGAGGGAAUUCACUCAGAACUAACAAGAAUGAUAACAUGCUCUGACUGGAGCGGUUUAGGAACUGCUGGAAGGCUCUAGGGGAAUAAAGAUGGAAUGACUUCUAAUGUUUAGGUCCGAGGUCCGUAUGAUUUGAAAUACUUGCACAUAAACCGUGCAAAAGCGUUCCUGGAAAUCUCAGCCCAAAAAAGGACGUUUAGUAAUUCUAAAAGGGACUACAGGAUGAAAAACAAUAGUUUUGGCAGUUAAAGUUUGAGAUUCGACGGUGCCGUAGAUCCGUUCGUUCAUCAGGUGUUACGAGCCACACCCAUGUCUAGCUAGAAUAGUGUGUUAGGCUCAGGCUAGAGAAGAAACGGGGAACAAACUGAUGAAAGAAUGAUCAAACCGAGGGAAUUCACUCAGAACUAACAAUAAUGAUAACGUGCUCCGACUAGAGCGGUUUAGGAACUGCUGGAAGGCUCUAGGGGAAUAAAGAUGGAAUGACUUCUAAUUUUUAGGUCUGUAUGAUUUGAAAUACUUGCACGCAAACCGCGCGAAAGCGUUCCCGGAAAUAUCAGCCCAAAAAAGGACGUUUAGUAAUUCUAAAAGGGACUACAGGAUGAAAAACAAUAGUUUUGGCAGUUAAAGUUUGAGAUUCAACGGUGCCGUAGAUCCGUUUGGUCAUCAGGUGUUACGAGCCACACCCAUGUCUAGCUAGAGUAGUGUGCUAGGCUCAGGCUAGAGAAGAAACAGGGAACAAACUGAUGAAAGAAUGAUCAUACCGAGGGAAUUCACUCAGAACUGAUGAAAGAAUGAUCAAACCGAGGAAAUUCACUCAGAACUAACAAUAAUGAUAACAUGCUCCGACUGGAGCGGUUUAGGAACUGCUGGAAGGCUCUAGGGGAAUAAAGAUGGAAUGACUUCUAAUUUUUAGGUCCGUAUGAUUUGAAAUACGGGCACACAAACCCCGAGAAACCGUUCCUGGAAAUCUCGGCCCGAAAAAGGACGUUUAGUAAUUCUAAAAGGGACUACAAAAUGAAAAACAAUAGUUUUGGCAGUUAAAGUUUGAGAUUCGACGGUGCCGUAGACCCGUUCGGUCAUCAGGUGUAACGAGCCACACCCAUGUCUAGCUAGAGUAGUGUGCUAGGCUCAGACUAGAGAAGAAACGGGGAACAAACUGAUGAAAGAAUGAUCAUACCGAGGGAAUUCACUCAGAACUAACAAGAAUGAUAACGUGCUCCGACUGGAGCGGUUUAGGAACUGCUAGAAGGCUCUAGGGGAAGAAAGAAGGAAUGACUUCUAAUUUUUAGGUCUGUAUGAUUUGAAAUACGUGCACACAAACCGCGCGAAAGCGUUCCUGGAAAUCUCAGCCCAAAAAAGGACGUUUAGUAUUCUAAAAGGGACUACAGAAUGAAAAACAAUAGUUUUAGCAGUUAAAGUUUGAGAUUCGACGGUGCCGUAGAUCCGUCUGGUCAUCAGGUGUUACGAGCCACACCCAUGUCUAGCUAGAAUAGUGUGCUAGGCUCAGGCUAGAGAAGAAAAGGGGAACAAACUGAUGAAAGAAUGAUCAAACCGAGGGAAUUCACUCAGAACUAACAAUAAUGAUAACGUGCUCCGACUGGAGCGGUUUAGGAACUGCUGGAAGGCUCUAGGCGAAUAAAGAUGGAAUGACUUCUAAUUUUUACGUCCGUAUGAUUUGAAAUACUUGCACACAAACCACGCAAAAGCGUUCCUGGAAAUCUCGGCCUAAAAAGGACGUUUAGUAAUUCUAAAAGGGACUACAGGAUGAAAAAUAAUAGUUUGGGCAGUUAAAAUUUGAGAUUCGACGGUGCCGUAGAUCCGUUUGGUCAUCAGGUGUUACGAGCCACACCCAUCUCUAGCUAGAAUAGUGUGUUAGGCUCAGGCUAGAGAAGAAACGGGGAACAAACUGAUGAAAGAAUGAUCAUACCAAGGGAAUUCACUCAGAACUAACAAGAAUGAUAACGUGCUCCGACUGGAGCAGUUUAGAAACUCCUGGAAGGCUCUAGGGGAGUAAAGAUGGAAUGACUUCAAAUUUUUAGGUCCGUAUGAUUUGAAAUACUUGCACACAAACCGCGCGAAAGCGUUCCUGGAAAUCUCAGCCCAAAAAAGGACGUUUAGUAAUUCUAAAAGGGACUACAUGAUGAAAAACAAUAGUUUUGGCAGUUAAAGUUUGAGAUUCGUCGGUGCCGUAGAUCCGUUUGGUCAUCAGCUGUAACGAGCCACACCCAUGUCUAGCUAGAGUAGUGUGCUAGGCUCAGACUAGAGAAGAAAUGGGGAACAAAGUGAUGAAAGAAUGAUCAUACCGAGGGAAUUCACUCAGAACUAACAAGAAUGAUAACAUGCUCCGACUUGAGCGAUUUAGGAACUUCUGGAAGGCUCUAGGGGAAUAAAGAUGGAAUGACUCAAAUUUUUAGGUCCGUAUGAUUUGAAAUACUUGCACACAAACCGCGAGAAAGCGUUCCUGGAAAUCUCAGCCCAAAAAAGGACGUUUAGUAAUUCUAAAAGGGACUACAGGAUGAAAAACAAUAGUUUUGGCAGUUAAAGUUUGAGAUUCGAUAAUGUCGUAGAUCCGUUUGGUCAUCAGGUGUAACGAGCCACACCCAUGCCUAGCUAGAGUAGUGUGCUAGGCUAAGACUAGAUAAGAAACGGGGAAGAAACUGAUGAAAGAAUGAUCAGACCGAGGGAAUUCACUCAGAACUAACAAUAAUGAUAACGUGCUCCGACUGGAGCGGUUUAGGAACUGCUAGAAGGCUCUAGGGGAAUAAAGAUGGAAUGACUUCUAAUUUUUAGGUCCGUAUGAUUUGAAAUACGUGCACACAAACCCCGAGAAACCGUUCCUGGAAAUCUCGGCCCAAAAAAGUAUGUUUAGUAAUUCUAAAAGGGACUACAAAAUGAAAAACAAUAGUUUUGGCAGUUAAAGUUUGAGAUUUGAUGGUGCCGUAGAUCUGUUAGGUCAUCAGGUGUUACGAGCCACACCCAUGUCUAGCUAGAAUAGUGUGUUAGGCUCAGGCUAGAAAAGAAACGGGAAACAAAGUGAUGAAAGAAUGAUCAUACCGAGGGAAUUCACUCAGAACUAACAAGAAUGAUAACAUGCUCUGACUGGAGCGGUUUAGGAACUGCUGGAAGGCUCUAGGGGAAUAAAGAUGGAAUGACUUCUAAUGUUUAGGUCCGUAUGAUUUGAAAUACUUGCACAUAAACCGCGCAAAAGCGUUCCUGGAAAUCUCAGCCCAAAAAGGACGUUUAGUAAUUCUAGAAGGGACUACAGGAUGAAAAACAAUAGUUUUGGCAGUUAAAGUUUGAGAUUCGACGGUGCCGUAGAUCCGUUUGUUCAUCAGGUGUUACGAGCCACACCCAUGUCUAGCUAGAAUAGUGUGUUAGGCUCAGGCUAGAGAAGAAACGGGGAACAAACUGAUGAAAGAAUGAUCAAACCGAGGGAAUUCACUCAGAACUAACAAUAAUGAUAACGUGCUCCGACUAGAGCGGUUUAGGAACUGCUGGAAGGCUCUAGGGGAAUAAAGAUGGAAUGACUUCUAAUUUUUAGGUCUGUAUGAUUUGAAAUACUUGCACGCAAACCGCGCGAAAGCAUUCCCGGAAAUAUCAGCCCAAAAAAGGACGUUUAGUAAUUCUAAAAGGGACUACAGGAUGAAAAAGAAUAGUUUUGGCAGUUAAAGUUUGAGAUUCAACGGUGCCGUAGAUCCGUUUGGUCAUCAGGUGUUACAAGCCACACCCAUGUCUAGCUAGAGUAGUGUGCUAGGCUCAGGCUAGAGAAGAAACAGGGAUAAAACUGAUGAAAGAAUGAUCAUACCGAGGGAAUUCACUCAGAACUGAUGAAAGAAUGAUCAAUCCGAGGGAAUUCACUCAGAACUAACAAUAAUGAUAACGUGCUCCGAUUGGAGCGGUUUAGGAACUGCUGGAAGGCUCUAGGGGAAUAAAGAUGGAAUGACUUCUAAUUUUUAGGUCCGUAUGAUUUGAAAUACUUGCACACAAACCGCAAGAAAGCGUUCCUAGAAAUCUCAGCCCAAAAAAGGACGUUUAGUAAUUCUAAAAGGGACUACAGGAUGAAAAACAAUAGUUUUGGCAGUUAAAGUUUGAGAUUCGAUGGUGCCCUAGAUCCGUUUGGUCAUCAGGUGUUACGAGCCACACCCAUGUCUAGCUAGAAUAGUGUGUUAGGCUCAGGCUAGAGAAGAAACGGGGAACAAACUGAUGAAAGAAUGAUCAUACGGAGGGAAUUCACUCAGAACUAAGAAGAAUGAUAACGUGCUCCGACUGGAGCGGUUUAGGAACUGGUGGAAGUCUCUAGGGGAAUAAAGAUGGAAUGACUUCUAAUUUUUAGGUCUGUAUGAUUUGAAAUACUUGCGCACAAACCGCGCGAAAGCGUUCCUGGAAAUAUCAGCCUAAAAAAGGAUGUUUAGUAAUUCUAAAAGGGACUACAGGAUGAAAAACAAUAGUUUUGGAAGUUAAAGUUUGAGAUUCGACAGUGUCGUAGAUCCGUUUGGUCAUCAGGUGUUACGAGCCACACCCACGUCUAGCUAGAGUAGUGUGUUAGGCUCAGGCUAGAGAUUAAACGGGGAACAAACUGAUGAAAGAAUGAUCAAACCGAGGGAAUUCACUCACAAUAAAGAUGGAACUUCUUUCUUCCCCUAGAGCCUUCCAGCAGUUCCUAAACCGCUCCAGUCGGAGCACGUUAUCAUUCUUGUUAGUUCUGAGUGAAUUCCCUCGGUAUGAUCAUUCUUUCAUCAGUUUGUUCCCCGUUUCUUCUCUAGUCUGAGCCUAGCACACUACUCUAGCUAGACAUGGGUGUGGCUCGUUACACCUGAUGACCAAACGGAUCUACGACAUUAUCGAAUCUCAAACUUUAACUGCCAGAACUAUUGUUUUCCAUCCUGUAGUCCCUUUUAGAAUUACUAAACGUCCUUUUUUGGGCUGAGAUUUCCAGGAACGCUUUCUUGCGGUUUGUGUGCAAGUAUUUCAAAUCAUACGGACCUAAAAAUUAGAAGUCAUUCCAUCUUUAUUCCCCUAGAGCCUUCC
This 82084-nucleotide long non-coding RNA is filed under the name Triticum aestivum (bread wheat). Its description in RNAcentral is "long non-coding RNA (TAES_LNC019905)". Lineage: Eukaryota; Viridiplantae; Streptophyta; Magnoliopsida; Poales; Poaceae. The record is from RNAcentral.